This 65729-nucleotide long non-coding RNA is filed under the name Arabidopsis lyrata. Its description in RNAcentral is "long non-coding RNA (ALYR_LNC000638)". Lineage: Eukaryota; Viridiplantae; Streptophyta; Magnoliopsida; Brassicales; Brassicaceae. The record is from RNAcentral.
UUUUCCGAAAACUUUAAACUAAAAAGGAAUGAGAACAGAUAAUUAAAGCUGAUAAUCUAUGUUAGUAACUUAUUAAAUUGCUGGAUUUUCGAAUUAACUUAUAAUGAUGGUGUCAUAACGUGCAUGUGGAUGGUUGAAUGUUGAAAGAUAUAUGGCUUUAUGGUUUACUUCCAGGGAACAGCACAUAGUAUAUUUGCGUUAAUUAAUUAUUUACUGUUAUAGUUUGCUUAUUUAAUCUUUCAUUAGUAUCAAAUUAGUUCGUGGAAACCAAUGAUGUGGUCCCUAAUUGCUCCUUGUUUAACGAUCCCGUGAUGUAGUCGAAACUCAAAGCCCUAGCAGCCUAGCUAGUCGCAACUUGUGUACACACUAAUUUUUCUUAAAUCACCAUUAACCAUCCGGUUCCUCUAGCAUCUGUUGGAAGUGAGAAGGGAGCAGUGGGGGAGCUAAAAUUUUAGUUUAUAGGGGUCAUAUAUAAUUAAUUAAUUUUUAUUUAAUUAUAUAUUAAUAUUAAAUCAUUUAUUUUAAACUAAAUAAAAUAUCUUUAAGAACAAUUUUGGAAAAAAAACUAAAGAAAAAAAAUAGAAUAUGUCUAAAAAAUUAAUAUGUACCACGAUUUUAGAGAUUUGUAGCCAUAUAUUAGAUAAAAACAUAAAAUAAAAAAUGGAAAAUGAAUUAAUGCUAAAAAAAAUUAACAUGUGAGGGGUCAAAUUAAGAAAAUUGAUUGAUGGCAUGGGGGUCAUUAUGGAAAAAUUAAACUAAAAUAUCCAUAAAUUAUUGUAAGAAUUACCUUAAAAACCAAAAAUCAUAAAUGUUAUGGGGGUCAAUUGACCCCCCUCCCUCUUCACUACCUCCGCCACUGGAAGGGAGCAAGUUUUCUGGUAAAUAAUUGUUUCGCAGGCCAAUUAUUGGACAAUUUAUCGAACCAUCCAAAACUGAAUACAAGUUAAAUUUCAAAUUUAUGAGAACAUCAGCAGUCGCACAAUCAGGUGGGUGUGAAUCUUGGGGUGUAGGUAUUAAAAAAACGAAAAAAUUGUCUCUCUCUUCACAUCCGGGUGUAACACUUUUUCUCUCUAUCUCUCUCUUUCUUUCUCUUUCUCUUUUCUCUUUUGCUUUAAAUUAUAAUACUAAAAAAAUACUUACACUCACACAAACACAUUUGCCACUACUGAUGGUCUGAUGGUCCCAAGAGAGACGUUGGCCAACUCAUCAAAAUUUUGUUUAUGUGUAUGUGUAUGUGUACAAACUACGAUGCUCCACGCUAAUUCGAGAGAACAAGCACUAUUUAUACCUAGAAGAUGUAACAAUCUCAUAAUAUUUAUCAUGUUUCUCCAAUAUAUUUAACUCUCAUCAUGUCUCGCAUUCAUUUGCAAGAUUAACUAAUCACUACAAAAUUUAUCAUUCAUUAUAGCAAGUAGCAUGGAAAGACUUGAAAUAAAUCCUCAUUACCACUCCAUAUAUGCGAAUAAAUACAAGUACACCGUAGACCGUACGUAAGCAUUUGAAAACCACGCAUAAUCUAUAAAUGCAUGUAGUGUAACGUGAAGGCAGGAGCGUGUCUGAUGAAGAGGUUAGAAUUGUAUGAUUAAUUUAAAAGGAUAGUAAUAAAGAUUAUACUAUAAGAAUAAAAGUGGAGACGACUGAAAAUUGAUUGAGUAGCGAAAUUUUUUAAAAAAAACACAUUAGAAAGUUGGCUUCUCUUUGACAGUCGAAAAGGGCUUUGUAGAGUGUGUUUUAAAUCUCUAUUUCUCAUCUUUUUAUGUCUAGGAUCUAAUAUAUAUAUAGUGACAUAAAUCAUGAAGUUUUCUUCUUUUCUCUCGAUACACAUACAUAUAUGUCUAUAUGUGUGAUAUAUUUAACAAUAAAUUUUGAUAAUCGGCCAUAUAAAAUGGUAUUUUGUUAAACUUUUCAUUAAUAUAACAAUGAUUCCAGCACCAAGAUUGUGAUUACACAUUUAGGCUUUUACCUUGCAAAAACUAUUGAAUGGAAUCAGCCAAUCACUUGUCUUAUUUACUGUUUUUUUGGUUUUAAAUACUUUCUUAAAAGAUUAAUAUCCAUUUCAUUAUUGAUUCGUCAAGAUCAUCUUUUGUAUUCAACUAUAUAGUUUAAGUGCAUAGAUGUUUUUCGGCCAUACAAAUUUGGCAGGCUAAAGUUAGAAAUGUAAGCUGUUUCCAUUUAACCUUUCAGACUUUUGAUUUUUAGUAGGAAUAAAUUACGGAUUUUGUCCUUUUUCAUAAGGGCAUUUGUGGAUUUUGCUCUUUUUUGAAUAGUUUAUGCAUUUUGCCCUUUUUCAUGCUCCAAAAAUAUGAUUUAACAUGCGUUUCACUCGUUAUGUUUGGGUUUAGUCGGUUCCAUUUGUUCUUAGGGUUUAGUAUUUUGGUAUAAAAUACGUAUUUUUGGAAAAAAAAAUCCUAAAUACGUACAUUUUUAAGUGUUAAAAAAGGGCAAAAUCCGUAAACUAUUCAAAAAAAGAACAUUUUCGUAAGUUUUUUUCCAAAAAAGGGUAUUUUAAACAAUAAUCCCUUAGUAGUAGUGACAGGGGCGGACCCACCAAGGAGGAAGGUGGGUCACUUGACCCAGGUUAAAUAAUCAAAUACCAUUUUUAGUGCAUGAAAUUUCAUUAAAUACCAACAGCACAAAUGGUAGUUUCCCAGGUAUUGACACCCCCAUUACUGUGUUCGAACCUCCAACAUGACACUUUUACUUCUUUAUUUUCCAUUUAGCCUCAAAUACAUGUUUUUUUUUUGUUUUACAUUUAUUUUUUUCUCUUAAAAAAUCACAGCAAUUAAUGUACCAUUUUUUAAUUGCUUAUGAAAAUGAUUUUCUUUUUGUGGGUUUGUAUAAUAUUCUAAAAAAAUUAGUUGUAUAAUAUUUUCGUAAGUUUUUUUCCAAAAAAGGGUAUUUUAAACAAUAAUCCCUUAGUAGUAGUGAUGUUCAUUUUUUCUUCCAGCUAUAUUCCAAAUUGUUUUAAUUAGAAACAUCAAAGGGAGGUAAAGAAGUGGUUUCAAUGAAUAUGUUCUUGACUAUAUUGUACGACGCGGUCGUACGGUCUUAGCACAAAGACAGUGGCAAAACGAGUGAGAGAAAUGAAAUGACAAAUUUAACAAAAAAUUCAAAAGAAUUUUUUUUUUUGAACAAAAUUCAAAUGAUAAAAGCAUAACAUCAAUUGUCUUUUGAAAUUUGGUAACGAAGGGAAGGACAAUAUUAAAGGACGGAAAGGUAAAAAACAAAAUCAAGAACAAAUAAAUAAAGUUUUGAUUUGAUUUUUAAACUUUCUCUAAAAGCAUGAUUCCCAUGCGAUGCGUCACUUCCUCAUGCAUUAUCAUCACAACAUGCCACAUCUCUGUUUCUUUCUUUUUUAAUCAUUUCAUCUAUGAUUUUUACUGAUAAUCCAUAAAAUUACAUAAGCACGAUAUAAUUCCAUAACUUACCGCGAUAUUAAUAAUUUUACCAUCGCUUCGUCAUGCAUUAUCAUUGAUACAAUUAUGCCGUGAUUUUUAAGAAUCUUACCAAUUACACAAGCUAGAAAAGUAAUCUGUAGCAUUUAUUUAUUAUUUUUUGUUAAAAAGAUUUUAGUAGUUUUUAUACAAUUUAAAUAAUCUUUAAGAUUUGUCCCGGUAGUAAUGACAUUGCUCUCAUAUUUUAAAGGGACUACAUGCAAUUAGCAUGUGCAUCAAUUUAACUCUCGAUCUAUAACUUUUUGUGUGUUGAUGGUUAAAAUUAACUACCAAAAAUGCGAUAUCGAUAAAUGUUUGAUCUUAUGGUCUAGUUACAAAAAACGAUGAUAUUAAUUUUGUAGUAAAAGUCCCAUUCUCUUUGUUUUUACAAUCUUUAAUAUAUAAAUGACUAGUUUGAACAAUUUUUAUCAUCAUUUUAACGGCAUGCACCAAUAAUAUAUCCUUGUUUUAACCUUUACCAUCCAAUAUUUUUAUGAUUUCUUUUCGAUUAGACCUAACACAUUUACCAUAUUUACCACACUUAUACCUAUCACACCACUUCUAGCAUCGUCACCAUUGAAAGCUUAAUGUCUACAUCUUAGUUCUAUCUCUUGUCGUGACAAUUAUUGAUCUCGAAAUCGAUCGGUCGUGCAUACACCAAAAUUAUCUAGAAGUACUGUUUACUUUAUCCUUAUCUCUUAAACUUUAUUGAGAGGUAACUAUAAAAAGAGCCCACUAAUUAAAACUAGGGCAAAAAUAUCUCUUGCGAUUGAUAGAAGCCUUGACAAAUUGAGUUUCCUGUCUUCUCUCCUUACUCCUUUUAUAAGACAAAAAGAUUUCCUCUAGGGUACAAAGCAUGUAUUUUCAAAUAGUGUUAUUGGUCUUUGUGUCUUUUUAUCUAUCCAAAUGUUUCAUUCAUUUGGUGAGUAAAAUAGUUUAUCAAGGGAUCAAAUGUUGGGAUUAAAUUUUUGAGCAUUAUUUUCCAGCUUUCACCACAUGCUUUUGUAUACGCAUAUAUAAUUAAUAUGAGACUUUUCUUCCAUUCAUUUAUUACCAUUAAAAGUUGAAACCAUACAAGCUCUCAAUUACCAGUUUUCUAAGGGAAUAUGUCCACCAGUGGAUCCCUCAAUUUACAUCUGCAUAUGAAUAUAUGCUACUAAAGAGUUUGAGUUUUUAUGUCAAUUAAUUGGUUGUUGAGCUAGAUUCUCUAUAUUUCUAUAUUGAUUAAUAUAUUUUUGAAGUCUAUUUUAUCCCUUAAAAAAUAAAAGAUGUAUGUGGAAUUAAUACUGAUUUAGGUUUAGUACGUAUAAAUCUAUAUAACAUAAUUAUUUUUAGGUUGAAAAUUUGGUAAAACAAUAAAUAUCUUGGAAUUCCUACCCCCCAAAAAAAAAAUAUUAAUGGUGGAAUGGUGUUAAGUUUCGUUAAUUAAAAUGUGUAUCUUUUAUGUCGAAAUUUAAGAUUUAUGGAAUCACGUUAGUAAAUAUCAUUCAAAUAAUGUUUCACCAAAACAAUCGAAUAUCUUAGAAGAAAAAAACUGAACUCGUUACUAUCGUUUAUUCGCAUGAUAUUUGAGCACAUAAUUGACUAUUAUGUAAUCGGCAUGCUAAAAAAUUAAUUUAGAUGAUUAGUUUCGGACAUAGUUACCAGAAAACUAAUUAGUUCCCAAGGAGUUCCUCUAAAUUUUCAAGACAGCACAGUCCACACAAUGGUCUAUGUAAGUGACAAAAAUAAUUUAUUCUCCCGCUAAUUGAUUCCAUUGUUUCAUUUGAGUUUUAGUUUUCUUGGCUUCAAGUGUUAUAUAUCAAACUUGAUACUUUCUAUAUAUGGGGAAAGAUCACAUUUACAAUAUUAUAGCAAGACCGAAUGAUUUAGAAGAAACUUUAAGACAUACCAAAGUUAUAACACAAAGAACUAAAUGUAAAAAAAUGAAUGGUAUGGACUCAAAUCACAUGCUACUACAAUAUCAAAAAUGAGUAUGUCGGUUUGCCUUUUCAAUGUUUCAUUUCAAUCAAAUAUUAGAAUAGUUGAUGAUAUUUACCUUAAAUGUUUUUUUUUAUAUAUCAUCACACUGAUUACUAUCACGAAUUGUAGACUUAGGCUUAGGUUUAAAAAUAAAUGGAAUGAUGAAAAGCACGGGUGAUUAGCAAUUUUUGAAAGGAUAAACACUCAUAUGUAUCCAAAAAAGAUUUGACAAGAUGGGUCGAAAAAAAGAUAUCACACUUAAAACUCUAAAGACAUAUUUACCAAAAGAAAAUCAGUUUAGGUGUUAAACGUUGGCCCUCUUCGGCGACAAUGACCGGUGGCAAAAAGAAAGCCUUAUAUUUCCUUCACCUUUCCAUGCAUCUCUCCCUCAUCUCUUUAUAUGUUCUCUCGCGUAAAUUUAAGUUUUUUUUUAACUAUACCCACUUUAAUUUACUGUAAUCAUUUAUUGAAUAUGUUGGGAAAAAAUUGACUGUUUAGGCGUCAAUUACUUGUUUCAAGUGAAUUUUUUAAAAUUAAUUUGUUAAGGAAUAAAACAUCAAUUUUUAAAUAAAUAAAUUUAUUUUUAUUGGAGAAUGGAGACGACAAUCUUACCAGUUAAAAUGAUGUAUGUGAUAACAUUUGUAAAUAGAUAACAGUCAAAACCUCAAUAGAUGGAAUAAGAUUCCAUUAUUUUUAUUUAACAAAACACUAGCUUAUGGCUCUUAAUUAGUUAUAUACUCAAUAUAUAUAGGUAUACGCACAACUAUAUAUUAUUUUAUGUUAAAUUUCAUUUCUUUUCUAUUAAAUUUGAUUGAUUUUCUGUUAAUUACCAACUACUAUAUAUAUAUAUAUGAUCGGACCCCUACGAUAUAAGCAUUUUUGUUAGAAAUUUCAAAUAGGAUGGAUAUUAUAUCUUCAAUUGGUUUUCAAUUUUAAGUAUAUAAAGCUUAACAUAAUAUUAAAACCUAAAUACACCCCGGUCUAAUUCAAGUAGAAAUUGAUCCAACCCGAAAUUGAAGAGUUAAAUGAACCAUCAUUUCUUCAGAAAGCUUGAUAGAAAUUCCACAUCUAAAAUGAGAUCAAAAUUAACUUUUUUAAAAAAAUAAAGGAAAAUUUUACUAAACAACUCAUAUGGUGAGUGAUCGGGAAGAUCAAAAACAGCGUCGGAAAAGUUAACAAAAUUACCGGAAAAAAUUACAGAGAUAAAAGUUAACUUAUAAGAUAACAAACAAAAACUGGUUUAUUCACUAUCAAUUAGUUUCGAGAACAAAACAUGACAUUUCUUAUGGUAUAAAUUAUGACAGUACUUUCAGUUAAUGUUUGGUUACAAUGAGAGAAGAAAAAUAUAUUAAUAAUUAAAAUUAAUGCAUUGUUUAUAUAUAUAUAUAUGUAUUUUGGUGGUAAAGUAAAUGAAAACUUCGAAUUUUUUUAAAGAUGUUUUACGGUUUAAGACUUAAGUCGAAAAUUAAUGCAUGGUUCAAGCUUGAAGGCCCCAAAAGUGGAGCUAUGGUAAUGAUUUAGAAAAAUCGAAGCAUUUCUUUUCUUUUAGACAGGGUGAUGUUUUGUUUAAGAAGGUAGGGUCAUGGUCCUCAUGGACUCAUAUCGUUAAGUGAAUGACUAAGAAUCGAGGGAACCAUAUAACAAAACAAGUUGUUAUUUAAUUAGUCUCCCUAAUGAAUAAAUAAAUACAAGGUGCAUCGAAAUGUCUUGAGACCAUGAAGCUAAGAUCCAAUGAAAAAAAGAGAUUAAAUUAAUAAGUCUCAAGUCGUAAGAACUUUUAAGCCCAUCGGUUCAUGUCUCCAAUUACACUAACCGGUGGGUCCAUUUACUUAUCGAACACUCGCUUGACCACAAAUACUCUUUAUAUCAUUUUCAUUGAAAAACAUUAUAUAUCUUAUAUAUAUAUAUUUAUUUCAUGCCAAUGUCACAUUAAAACACUAAUAUAGUAAUAUCAUGUCGUUCACUUCAAUUUACAUGGGUUUGUUUUCACUUAUACAUUAGAAUAGUUAUAUUUCGCCUAAGUCUAUAGACAUAUAGCUGUAUAAUUUUUAUUCCCCACAGAUACAUGGUUAUUCACGUGAUGUGUUAUAUAUAUAUAAUUACAUUACUUUAGAAUAUUAUAUAUAUAUAAUUACAUUACUUUUAGAAUAUUAUUUUUAGUUUUAAAAAAUAUAUUAUUUUUAGUUUUUAUUAUAUUUUAAAUGUUGAUCUUUUUAAUGAUGAUGAAUAAAUCUAACCCACUGCUACAUUUUAAAACAUAACAAACAGUUCUACGAACGACUCCAUAAAACACAAUUCUGAUUUUACUUCUUUCUUUUUUUUCUGUGCACCUACUCAAUUUUACUUCUAUCCGAAUUAUAUUCAGGAUAAUUGUCUAAAAUGCCAUUUUUUGGAAAAUCUUACGAAAAUGUCAUUUUUUGAAUAAUUUACGGAUUUUGCCAUUUUUUAACACUUAAAAAUGUACGUAUUUAUGUUUUUUUUGUAAAAAUAAGUAUUUUAUACCAAAUACUAAACCCUAAGAACAAAUAUAACCGACUAAACCCAAACAUAACGAGUGAAACGCAUGUUAAAUCAUAUUUUUGAAGCAUGAAAAAGGGUAAAUCCACAAACUAUUUAAAAAAGGGCAAAAUCCAUAAAUGUCAUUGUAAAAAAGGGCAAAAUUCGUAAUUAAUUUUUAUAUUCAUGAUAAACAAUUCUAUCUUUAACACACGGAAACACGAUAAAUAGUUAUACAUGCAUCACGUAAAUAUUUCUGAUAAGUUUGCUCUAUUAAUGUAUUUGUAUUUAGUGAUUGGAGAUUAUAUAACAAAUUAACACAACGCCAUAUUCCAUGACUUUGACAGAGUUAGUCAUACCAAUAAUAAUUCUGCUGAUUCUUGUCGCAUCAUUGAAAUUUUUUUAGAUGUGUAGGGUUGAGGGUAUGGAAAAUAAUUUAGAUAUUGGUAAGGUUUUGGAUGAUGCAAUGAAGUUUUGUAGCUUUGAAAUGGUUAGUGCCCUUUAUAUUUUGCUUUUGGUUGACAAUAAUUUUGAGAGAAAACGAUAGAUUUGUUAUAAUACAAGAAAGAAGAAAACAGAGUAAAACAGAAAAGGAGAAGAUCUUUUGUUGGAGACCAAAGAAGGUGGGGAACAAACUCAAGACAUAAGUGGAAAACGUAGAGUUGUAUAGAUGUAGGCAUAAUAGCUACACUUAUAGGGUGCAUUAAUAUGUUUGCACCAAAACACUAUAUUAAAAUACUAAAUGGGAGGGAGGUUAGGAAUAUAGUAAGGAUAGUAAACGCAUAUAUUCGACCCUAAUCUGGAAAAUUCGAAUUGAAUAAUCUUAAAAGUUUUACAGCAUUGGAAAGAUGGUUUCGACCAUGAAAAUUAUAAAGUAGAGAGGGAUAAAUAGCCGGCAAGCAAAUCGGAUCAAAUCACAUUUGACUAUAAUUUAGUACAUCAAUGUUGGACUAGGCAUAGUUGAUAGUUCUAGCUAGUUUUUUAAAGUUAAAUUAUAUGCGCAAACGUCAUGCACAAGUCGGUUUUGGUAGAAUUUUCGAGUGUUGAUUCUUUGACAAUGAGAUUAAUUUUGUUUCAAAGAGCGUUUGACUUCGUAGGUGAUAAAAAGAUGAUUAUGUUUUUGACAAUUUAGACCAUGACAAACAAAUCUUUCAAUAACUCAAAAGUCGAUGACCGUUUGAUUUUUAAUGUAUCAAAACUCGACUGGACUUGUUAAAGCCAGGUCGGAUCAAUACGUAACCCAUUAUUAUAUCUCUAAUCAUACCACUAAUUAGCAAACACAAAAAUUCAACGUUUGGCAUCGUGCAUUGUUAGAAGAGUUUCAGAUUGAUGUCACGUCUAUUUGAUUCGUAUCUCUUUAAAAGGGAUAUAUGAGGCUUUUGUAAGGUAGAAAUUAAUGAGGUCCAUGAAGACAAUAAAAUCGCAUAAUUAUUUGAAAAGGUGAUUUUCAUGACUUUUGAAUUUUGAUAUAUAUUUGGGAGGAUAAUAAAAUCGCAUAACUUGGUUAUUUUUUCAUAGUUUUGGGAGGAUAAUAAUUUCCAAUAGUGCACUUGGUUAUAUUUACAUAUUUUUGGGAGGAUAAAUUUCCAAUGGUGCACUUGAAUAAUUAGUAGACACCGUACCUAGCAAAUUGAAAAUGAGGUAAUAAUUAGAUUCAUUCAAUACAACUUAUAAAUUUUGAAGAAAAACUUUGGUAAUGGAAAAGCUUUAAGCUUUAAAGGGUUUAUGUUUGUGGACCAAUUAAUGUCUUGGCAAUGAACUGUUUGGCUGUCUACUUAGUGCGAUCAAGAAGACAAAGAAGAAGACGAAGAAGAAGAAGAAAAUGGUGAGUAAUGAUAAGAUAUAGAAAAUUGUUUUUUUUUAAUAAAAAUGAAUACAUUUUCUAAAUUGGGUUAUCCUAAAGAUAAAUUGUUUACUCUUUUUGUUGACUCGCGGUGUGUGUAUUUUUUGGUCAUCGAUGCAUGAUUCCUUUAAUUGGUAUCAAUAAUAUAUUUUUAUAUGGUUUAUGUAUGAGCUUUGUUUGAAAAAUCGCUAGGCGCUAGUCGGGCGUUCGGCAUGGGCCUAGCGAUUAAUCGGAAAAUCGGAUUAAAAUCGGGGAUUAAUCGGGGAUUAGUUUUAGGGUUAUUUUAAUAUUUUUAAAAUAUAUUAAUUCAAUAUUGUUUUCAAAAUUACAGUAAAAACAAAUUUUUAUGAUUUUUAUUAAAAUUUGAACACAAGUUAUGUAAAACAUCACAAACUCCCAAUUCAAAUGAUUGAAUAACAAAAAUAAAAUGUUUUUUUAUACUUGUAAUCUAAAAAAUAAUCGGGGUAUGUAAGAUUAGGCGGGAAAUAAUCGGAUUAGGCGGAAAAUAAUCGGAUUAGACGGAAAAUAAUCGGGUUACUGAUUUUUUAGGGGAUUAGUCAUUAAUCGAGGCGGAGAGGGUGGGCCUAGCGAUUAAGCGGGGAGUAAUCGGGGCUAGGCGGGGAUUUUUAGAACAGAGUGUAUGAGUGGGUGUGAAAGAUAAUGAGACUUCUUUUUCCUUUCUUUUUUUUUUUGUUAUCCCACUUUCUUCAAUUGUUCCCCAUGAAAAGGUUCGUGUCUCACCAUUUCAUUAUCCUUUUGUGUGAGCCUGUUUAACAAUUUUCUACGACGAAUUCGAUAUUCCAAACCAGAAAUUCAGACAAAUUAUUAAUGUUUUAAAAUAUGGUCUAUGCAAACAGUAUAUACAAUAUAUAUGCAUACACAUAUAUGUUAUAUAAGUUAACUGUUUUUUUAUGGCAAAAUGGAUGUGUAUAUGGUGUUUAAUUAAGCAUUGUGUAUACAAUAUAUUUAUCCACCGCACAUAUGGUUGUCUCUAAAACGAUGAUCAUGUUUGUUUACAUUUUAAUGUCCUAAAGAAACAUCAUUUUGUUCUUCUUUAAAAUUAUGUGACUUUUUUUUAACGUCUAGUAGUUUUAUUGAUAAUACAAAACUGGUGUUACACAAAACCGGCGAGUUCAGAGGACUCCAAGAAUCAAAAGCCAACAAAAAAAAUGAUAUUUUCCUAGAACCACAAGCCGGGAAAACAAAGAUAAAUUUCCGAAAACUAAAAAAAAAAAUUGAAACGUGCAUGAAGCUAGAAUAAUCAUAGAAAACAUAUCAAAAAUUUAAAACCAAGAAUCUCCAGAUAAAUGAAGCAAUCACGGUUUACUUUACAUCGCAUAUAUAGUUUAUGAUUAUAUCUUUGUACUUGUUGAAGAGGUAAGAAACACAAUAAUACUUAUGUCAAUAAAAGGUUUUUCUUUUUCUUUCUUUGGAUUUGUGGAUUGUGCCACUCACUUACAAACUGAUAUUUGGAAUUAUAAGUGAUGGUUGGAAAUCAAACUUACUGACACACUUGUUAGUGGCCACAUUAAUUGGACAAUAUAUGAUUCAUUCCUUUUGUUCAACAUAUUUUUAUUCAAUACAUUUUUCUAUUUUUCUUUUGAACAUUAAUUGGAUAUUUGGGUUAAUAUGAAUAGGUAUUGCAUAAAACAUGAUUUACUUAUUCUAAAGUGUAACAUCGAUAGCUUUUUAUUCCAGGCCGAUAGGAGAUUGUGGACCGAAAGCCCAAAACUGUUUUGUUUUUUCUUUUUUUGGUCACAAUUCAAGUAUUUUUCAACAACUAUUUUUUCGUGUUUUUUGAUACUUAAUUUAAUUCGAAAACGAUUAAAAAAAGAAAAGAAAAAUGAAGUCAAAAGAAAUUUCAUACAGUAGAAUCUCUAUAAAUUAAUAAUCGAUAAAUUAAUAAACACUAUAAAAUAAUAAUUUAUUCGGUCCCAAGUCGGACCAGUGUAAAAAUUGGCGAAAUUUGAUAAAAUAAUAAGUAAUAAUUUUUUUUGGAAUCUCUAUAUAAAUAUAUGGUCCCUUUAAUAUCCUAAAUUAAUAAUCAUAUAAAUUUACAUAUUAUAUAUAUAUAUAUAUAAAUAAUAUAUUUUUAGUGUUUGUUUUCUUAUUAUGUUAUGUUUCAAAACUAUCUUAUUGUUGUAUCGCCUGUAAAUUUUUCAUAAAAAUAGCUAAAAUUUUUCGCAAGGUUUUUUAUUUAUUUUGCAUAUGCAGAAUUUUAUGUAAAUUAUUUUGUAUGUGAAUUCAUCUAUAAUCUUUGUUAUCUAUUGUCAAAAAGACUUGUUUUUCUUCUGAAUAUUAAAUAUUCAAAUCUAAAACUAUUAAUUUAUAACAUUCAAAACAUUAUUUUUAUUUAGAUCAAAUUUGUUUAACUCAUAUUUUUGUAAAAAAAACCUUUUAAAAGUUAAAACAAACUUUUUAUAAAUUAAUAAAUAUUAAUUUACACUAUAAUUUAAUAAACAUUAAUUUAUAGAUAAAUUUAUAUCACUAUAAAUUAACAAAAUAUCAUGAUCGGUUUUACUGUAGUUCCCUGAGAGAAUAUCAGAGAACAUAUUUGUGUGUGUCAGUCUCAGUGUCUGACGCUCAUAUAUGGAGUAGUAAAGAGAGAAAUAAUUGAAACUAUUCCGACACCUUUUUCAGAUUGCAACACUACAAAAAUCCCAUUCAAGUAAAAAAAAAAACUUAAAUGUAACAGAUAAUAUUCUAACACACUUUGAAAAUUUUCUGUCUGACAGAUUUUUCAAUAUGUCCCACUCUGUUGUUUUUUCUUUCUGAAAUUUCUUGCAAUCAUACAAUAACCUUAGAAGAAAUCAACAGGGAGAGUUUGGUUAUAAUCAGUUCCCCAUUCUAUUACGUUUUCUACCAUUUCCUAGCUACUAUAGAACAGUGGUGAGAUUGAGAUUUGAUUGGCACUAAUACUAACCAUUGUGGGAUCACUCAAAAACAGAGACUUGUCCAUUCCAGCUACAAGCUGCGACCACGUUAGGCAAAACUGGGUGGUAUGACACAUCAACGCAGGGCUGUUCAUAAGCUUUGAGCUUCUUAAUGAGCUCAGUGGAUUUGUAGCUGUACAUGUAUAUGGAACCGUCAGAUGAGCCAGAGAUUAAGGUUUCUCCGUCCGGGCUGAAGUUGCAUUUGAUUGGGAAACCUGCAACCCAGUGACCUUCGAAUCUCUUGUAUUUGUUCAGCUUGAAAGGUGGGUUUGUUGAGAAGAUUGCAGCGUAGUUCCCAUGUGAUUGGGCGAUGAAGACUGGGUCUUGCGGGUGACGUUUGAUGCAGGGGCAUGUGUAUGCUUCUACAUAGACCUGAGAGCAACAGGGAAAACAACAAGGAAAAUGUCAUUAGUUACGAUGUCGUUAUGAUAGUCUUAUCUCUAAGAAUUGAGAGUCUAAAAUCACUGUUUAAUCAUAUCCUUAUAGAGCAAUGAACGUUUUAGAGUGAGUGUAAGCUAAGCGUUGUUUCAAAGUGAAAGAAACAAAACGAACAAUGUGAGGGAAUGUAUAGAAAAAGUUAGUGAAACCUUCUGCAAGUUAAUAAUCAUACUGAAAUAAAUCACAUUUGAAAAGGUCAGACAAAUGUAAAAUGGACUUUUUAAAAAAUGUCGCUAAGAUAGUUCCUGCUAGGCCUAGCUUGGUCAGGAAGUUAGUGAUAAUGAGAACAAUUCUACGACUUCGUGGUGCAUAAAACAAGAGAGCAUACAACAAAUUCCUAUAGAGAGGAACAAAAGAAGUUUCUUUGCUUCUCUAUGAUUCAGCUAUUAGAGACAUUAAGCAUCUAACUUCAAAAAAUCGAAAGGAAAAUUGCAACACUUCCUUCGCACAUUCAUACAUAAGCAUGUUCUGCUUGUGUCUAUAGAUGCAGCUUAUUUUUAAUUCCAAUAUCUAAGCUUAACUCUGUUAGCUAAUUCUGAUUUACUAAUGACAUACUGAUACUUUUCAUCAAGCAAUUUUAUACAGAAUUAGAAGAAAAUUCAGCAAUGAUAUAACUGAAAGAAGGUUACCUGAUUAGAUAGAGGAACCUCUCUCGAAAUAUCCCAAAUCAUAACCGCAUUCUCACUUAUAUUUCUGCCAGACACAUCACUUGAAGAGAUAAACCGCUUCCCACCCGCGAUAAACUCAACAUCAAGAAUUGGCCCAAGAUCUCGGAUGUAUUCAUGCACGAUUUUGUUGGCCCUAAUGUCCCAUAAUCUAAGACUUCCCUUUGAUCCUCCAGAAAGAAACACGCUACAAUGAUCUGGAUUGAACUUAACAACUCCAAUAACCUGAUCCUCUUUGAAAGACUGUAUCUCUACCCCUCUUUCAACAUCAAAUAGUCUCGACAUGCAGUCAUAUCCACAAGAAAGCAACGAUAACCCUUGCUUUGACCACUUCACAUCUUUAACCGGUGCAUUAUGAUGGAGAAAAGCCCGUACUUUCUUCUUAUCAUUGCUCCACACAUUCCACACGUAAGCGACACUAUCAAGCCCCGCAGAAGCAAGAAGAUGAACUGCACAAUAACUCUAAUAAACAAAUGAAUGAGGCAGAGGAUAACAUCAAGCCAAUCGUCACCAAGGUGAAUUCAAAAGCCACAACAAAAGGCAAGAACAUACCAUGACUUGUAGACCAAUCAAUAGCAGUAACAGCCUUUGUAUGGCCGGUUAACGAAAUCGACAUUCUACUAGGCAUUUCGGUUCGCAACGAGGAUCCUUUUGGUCGAUGUGUAACCGAAGAUAGAACAUGGCGAGGCACAUCAGAAUCUGAGAUGCUCCCAAGAACUGAGAUUAAGAAAGCUUCAUACAAAUUAGUAUAAAGCAACCACAAAGCUAGUGACGCAGACUAACAAACAUUAAGCAAUCACUCAAACUAAAGAAGAACACUUAACGAAGAUUUAUCUUUAAUUUAAGCAAUAACUAACACCAACACUAAAUUCUAAACCACGAAUUGAUUAAGCAUAAUCGCAAAUACCAGUAGGAGAGCUAGAAGGUUUCUGAUUCAAAUCGGAACUUUGAUCUUGAGUCGGAAUCGUUGAAACGGAGGCAAGAAGUGAUCUCUCUCUCUUAGAUACGUACCGGCCUGGAACCGGAACCGGAACCGGCACUGAAACCGAAGAGCUCGUUUGAGGAUCCGAAUAGGAACCAUGAGGAGGAUACGGUCUACGCGGUGGUUUGUAUUGUCGCUCCUCCGGGACUGGAUAUGGACGCUUUGAAGGAAUAGACGGUGCGGUGGCGAUUUCAGAUGUUAAACGCUCAUUGGACACUGGUUCAGGUUCGUCGUCGGAGUCAUUGCCAUACGAAUUGCAAAUAAGAUCCAUCGGAAACUUGAAAUCGAACCACCGAAGAAGUGACCGGUGAUCGGAACAUAACUGUAAUUAGCCUUGGAUGAGAAGGAGAAGGCUGAAUAUUUGGUGGGCUUUAUUUGGGCCAGAAGAAUGCUCCAGGCCCAAUAGUAUAUAUAAUCGCUUAGUACUAACAGACUUCAGAGUCGGUCCGAAACUCCGAAUGAUGCAAAGGUCUUUAUUUUUUGUUUUGUUUUAUAUGUUCAAAUUUUUUAUUAAUUAUUUGGUUAUCGAAAAUAAUAACUCAUCAAAUAGUUAAUAGGUUAUAAGAAAUAAAAUUACUGAUUAAUAAAUGUGUAUGGGCCAUUUAUAAGUUAUUAUUUCAUUAACAGCUCUAACUCAUUAUCUUAAUCAACUCCGACAUCUAGAUAUUACUCCCUCUAUUCUUUAAAGUUGAUGUUCUAGUGUUUUGAGUUUGUUCCACAAAUAUUGAUUUUCUAGAUUUUUUUUUAGUUAAUUGAUUUUAUUAAAUCGUAGAUUUCAAGACGUAAUGAUUAACUGUUUCAGAUUACUAUGGUUCAUAGUUUAUUAAAAAUUAUUUAAUAAAAGUAAAUAAUUAAACAAUGAUUGUUUCUUAAAAAAUGUGAAUUCUUUAGAAAAUCAAGCUUCUAGGACCAGAAGGAGUACUCACUAGUAAUAUAGUAAUAUACUAAUAUGUUUGUUACCAUGACAUUCGAUCUAAUUUAACGAAAUCAAUAAAAAGAACAUGUUUGAAAUUAGAUUUUUUUAGCAAAAUAGAUAAUUUAAAAAUGAUUAUUCUAUUUGGAAGAACAUUAGUGAAAUAAAAUAAAUUAAUAUUUAUAAUAUUAUAUAUAUUCUAAAUUAAGUAACUCACCAUGAUGAUAUAAAAAAUAAUUGCUGAUAUAUAAAUGUGUAUGUGUUUAUCAGUCCGAAUGUGUUUGGUAAUUGGUACAAAUGUGUUUGUUGCCAAAAAGGAAAUGAGCUAAUUUAUUUAGUUCAAUAAAGAGAACAUAUUCGAAAUUAGAAACCGUUAGUAUAUGUAUAUAUUUAAAAAAUAAUUACUAUAUUUUUAAAGACAUUACUGAGAAAAAUCAAUUAUUAUUUAAAAUAUAUAUUAUAAAUAAAUUUGAUUACUCAAUAUCGACAAAACGUAAUUAUUGAUACAUAAACACAUGGAUUUAUCUAAUGGAAUUGUUGUUUGAGGAUCUUUACUAACGGUGUCUUUUUCAUUAUAUUAAUCUACUCCGACAUUUAGAUAUUAUACAUCAUGAUACAAAUGUGUUUGUUGCCAAAAGAAAUCAAUCUUAUUUAUUUAGUUCAAUAAAAGGAACAUGUUCGAAAUUAGAAACCGCUAGUGUUAUAUAUAAUUUAGAAAAUAAUACUAUAUUUGUAAGGAAUAUUACUAAGAUAAAAUUUUAUUUUACAUAUAUUAUAAAUAAAGUUAAUAACUCACUAUCGAUAAAACAUAAUUAUUGAUACAUAAACAUAUGGAUUUAUCUAUAUGAAUUGUUGUUUGUGGAUCUUCACUUACGUUUUUUUUCAUUUAAUUUGGUACAAAUGUGUUUGUUGCCAAAGAUAAAUCGAUCUAAUUUAAUUAGUUCGAUAAAGGGAACAUGUUCGAAAUUAGAAACCGCUAGUGUUAUAUAUAAUUUAGAAAAUAAUACUAUAUUUGUAAGGAACGUUACUAAGAUAAAAUUUUAUUUUAUAUAUAUAUUAUAAAUAAAGUUAAUAACUCACUAUCGAUAAAACAUAAUUAUUGAUACAUAAACAUAUGGAUUUAUCUAUAUGAAUUGUUGUUUGUGGAUCUUCACUAACGUUUUUUUCAUUUAAUUUGGUACAAAUGUGUUUGUUGCCAAAGAUAAAUUGAUCUAAUUUAAUUAGUUCGAUAAAGGGAACAUGUUCGAAAUUAGAAACCGUUAGUUUUAUAUAUAGUUUAAAACUAAUUACUAUAUUUUUAAGGAACGUUACUAAGAUAAAAUUAAUAAUUAUUUAAUAUAUAUAUAUAUAUAUAUAUAUAUAAUAAAAUUAAUAACUCACUAUCGACAAAACAUAAUUAUUGAUACAUAAACACAAGGAUUGGAAUUGUUGUACUAACGGUUUCUUUGUCAUUAUAUUAAUCUACUCUGACAUUUAGAUAUUAUCCAUCAUUGAUAAUUUGGUACAAAUGUGUUCGUUGCCAAAAAUAAAUUGAUCUAAUUUAAUUAUUUCAAUAAAGGGAACAUAUUCGAAACUAGAAACCGUUAAUGAUAUAUAAGUUAAAAAAUAAUUAAUAUAUUAUUAAGGAACGUUACUAAGUUAAAAUCAAUUAUUUUUUAAUAUCUUACUAUCGACAAAUCAUAAUUAUUGAUACAUAAACACAUGGAUUUAUUUAUUAGAAAUGUUGUUUGAGGAUCUUCACUAACGGUUUCUUUUUCAUUAUAUUAAUCUACUCCGACAUUAAGAUAUUACCUAUCAUUGGUAGUUUGGUGCAAAUGUGUUUGUUGCCAAAUCUAAUAAAAUUAGUUAAAUAAAGGAAACAUGUUCAAAAUUAAAACCGUUAGUAAUAUAUAUAAUUUAGUUUUAAGGAACGAUACUGAAAUAAAUUCAAUUCUUGAUUUAAAAUAUAUAUAUAUAUAUAUAUAUAUAUAUAUAUAUAUAUAUAUAUAUAUAUAUUAUACAUAAAGUUAAUAACUCACUAUCGACAAAAUAUAAUUAUUGAUAUAUAAACACAGUGGUUUAUCUAUUGGAAUUAUGCUUUGAGGAUCAUUUUUACUAGCGGUUUCUUUUUCAUUAUAUUAGUCUAUUCCGACAGAUAUUAUCCAUCUUAAGAAACAAUCUAUAAAUUAAAAGGAACAUGUUCGUUAAAAACCGUUAGUGAAAUAGAUAACUUAGAAAAUAAUUAAUAUAUAUUUGAAGAAUGUUAGUGAGAUAAAGUUAAUGAUUAUUUUAAAAUAGUAUAAAUUAUAUAAAUAAAAUUACUAUAUUUUUUUAAAAAAUAAUUGUUCAUCAAAAGUAUACGAAGUAUAAAAUAUAAUUAUAGAUAAAUUAUAUGAAUUCAUUUUUUAAAAUUGUUGUUUCAAAAUUAUUUUAAGAAUUUUUUAACUCAUUAUAUUGAUCUACUCCAACAUCUAGCUAGAUAUGAUUACUCAUCAUCAAUGAUAAUGUAUUUACUACCGAAAACCCAAUAUAAUCUAUAUAUAUAAUGAGAGAGUUUUCUCUCCAUCUAGAGUGUCCACAUAGGCGACACAUCAGCGUACACGUCAUCAUACAUUUUUAAUAGGUAUAAAAUGUUACCAAAAAGAUUCGAACCCCUUACCCAAUACAUUUAAUAGGUGCAUUUCAAACCAAAUUGCCAUUUAAAUCGUUUUGAUUGAUAUCAAAAUUUAAAUUAUAUAUAUGACUUUAUAAAACUUCCACUCAAUUUAUUUAUUAAACAAAGAAACAUUAAAAAAAAUUUCACAUACUUUUAUAUUAUCAUCUUUUAAUAAAAGAAAAUAUUUUUUCAUAAACAAUAACAUUGUUUAAUAUCAUAUAAACGGCCAUUUUCAACCCCAACUAUUUGGGGGCGGGUUUUUCCAACCCAAACUAAGACCCCCCGUCAAUUUCUACCCAAACUCAAAACUAAUUCAAAUUCAAAACCUAAACUAAUGAAAAUUAGCCGAUUUCAACACGACAGAAGACGGUGUUAGCUCGGAAUUUAACGGCUGCUGAGUCAGCGAUAUCGUGGCAUUGACGUGGCGGGAAAACGGCCAUUUUCAACACCAACUAUUUGGGGGCGGGUUUUUCCAACCCAAACUAAGAACCCCCGUCAAUUUCUACCCAAACUCAAAACUAAUUUAAAUUCAAAACCCAAGCCGCUGCUAUAUUCAUGUAAUCUUGUAGUUGGGUCGUGAGAGAAAAACUAUUUAUAUAUCGAAGGUGAUCUAUCAUUCGAUAGUCCGACUGUGUAUUACUUACCAUGUGAUGGAUCUUGGGGUUGUAUGAUUUCUAAAACAAUAUGGUAUUGUCUCCAUUUGUGUCGAGUUGAAAUUUUAAUGAAUGGCAGUGUGUUACCAUAGCUUUAGAGUUCAUGAAUUGUUAUGCGGAUUGAAAUUGUUGUGAAUUAUAGUGAUGAUGAUUCAGGUCACGAGACUAUAAACACAAUUGAUUUCAGACAAGUUUCCAGAUAGAAUGUCUGUACAAUGAUUCCACUGCAGGAAGAAAGACAAAAUCUUUAGACGGACACAAUUGCUAGACCAAACUAUUCGGGAACAAAUUUUGCUUUUUCUUGCUAUUGCUACAUUUCUUUCAGAUUCCGUUUACAGUGCCUGUGAAUUCAUAAAAUCGACGAACAUUUUUCUGUUUCGAGAGAAAAUGAAGAACCCUAAUUUUAAUUUUUCCCCAAAAUUAGAACGACGUCGUUUCGUUGUUUGAAGGGAAAAAAAAUAAAACGUCGUCGUUUUCAAAUAUAUAUAAUUUAUAUAUGAGAAGUAGAAAACAAAAAAAUAUGUUAUCACGCUAGAAAGACAUUAACCUUUUCAAGAUUUAUAAAAUAUUUAGAUUAAAAAAAGUUUAUAUGAUAGUAAACUAUAGAAUUUAGAUUACACGAAAUAAGAAUAUCUAUUUUUCAAGAAAAAAGUAUGUAUCCAAAAUCAAGAUAAAAUAUAUAUAAAAUUGUAUAAUAUAUUUAAGGAAAGAAUUGUGAUUUAAGAGUACAAUUAGAUACAAGAUUUCUUUAAACAAUAACGUUAGAGUGCAAUGUUUCAUGGAAAAUGCAAUGUAUGAGAAUAGGAAGAAUCCAAAUAUAAAAUUUAAUAUGUAGGAAAAAGAACAUUUUAUAAUAGACAAGAAAAAAUAAAAUAUAAAAAUGAAAUAGAUAAAGAGAAUAUAAUUUUAAUGUAAGUUUAUAAUGAAUCAAAAAUUUAAUCAAUUAUUUUAACGAAAAGAACGUGAAAAGAGAUAAAAUGUCGCGAGGUGGACGACUGCAUAUUAGAAUAUGACGAAUAAAAUGACAGCGAAAUAAUUUCAAGAGAAAUUGACUAAAUUCAAAAAGAUGUAUGAACAUGACAUGGUCGAGAUUGUAUUAUAUUUCUCUGAAUUUUUUCAACUAAUUUUUUACCACGUGUUACCUAAAAAUUUGUUGGUUUUUUCAAGAGAAACAUUAUUCUCAAUAAAAUCUGUUAUAUAUCAUUUCAUAAAUAGGUUUAUGUCAUUAUAGAUUUAUCUUUUAAAAUUCAAUAUAUAUAUUUAUAUUCACGACUUAUAUUAUUAAUAAUUUAUAAGUAAAAUCCCGCGCAUUGCGCGGGGUCACAAAUCUAGUUUAAAUCAAUUAGGGAGUUUUUAAACAACUAAAUAUCACUAUAUCCUAACUUAAGAGAUUAGUUUGUUAAACUCUUAAGCUAAAAAUUUGAUGUGAUAUAAUAUUGUUCAUGAAAUUACUUGUAUACGAACAUUUCAUCAUGCGUUAUUGCGUCGUUAAUCUAAGUAGCUUAUGUGGUUGGAUUAAGUGUAACUCUACUUAUUUGACUAAGAGUAACGAUAAAUUUUCUAACUUCGCUUGUAUAGAUUUGUAAUUUCUUUUCGUUUUUGUUAAAUAGAUUUAUAAUUUUAUGAAAGCCAUUCACAAUAUAAAAAGAUUCGCUACUAUAUAUAGUCAAUCAAAACGUAAAAGAUUGUAUAAAUCAAUACUUGGACUAAAUUAUUGAUUGGAAGUUGAAACAGAUUUUGGUGGUAUAUAGAACAACAUUUCCGUAACAUAAAAUCUGCAAGAAAAAAACGUCUCAAUAUUUCCAUAUACGAAAAAAAACGUGAGGAACAUUGAUCAGUUACUUAAUUUGUUGAAAAUAAAAUAAAUUUUUUUUGAAUUUUCUCCAAUACAUUCAGAUGCUAGGACCCAUGCAUAUCUAUAACUGAGUUUAUCUUGUAUAUCACACAGGUGAGUUAUAAAAGUCCCAAUAAUUACAAGGACCCAGCAGAAUAAUAAAAAAAACCAAAAAAAAAAAACAAAUUUUAAAACAAAUGGUAUCACAAGUCUCACGCGUGUAAGACUGCAUGAGCCACACGUGGGCCAAGCUAACCGGUUACCUGCUGCUCUUCAACAGAAGCACACAGAACAAACGACCGCUACGAACAUAAGUGACAACUCAUCUCCAGGUAACCGGUACAAAUGGGAACCACAGAAGAUCCACGUGGCAUAACUCUAUUAGCUACAGUCAAGUGAAACCGGUCCCCUGAUUGGUUAACGUAAUCAUAUUUCCAGUUCUGGGCCCUAGUGUACUAUGUAUCGCGUGACUCACUCACAGUGGCAUUUUUGUAAUUUUAAAUUAAUUUAAUAAAUUACCUUAAUUGUCUAUUAUUAUCUCUUAAUUAAUCACAUAUUCAUAUUUAGAAGAUAAGAUUUUGUAUCUCCAAAUAGAUUUCAAUACAUCCAAAUAAUCUUAGCUGAUAGAUUCGAAGUUGGAAAAGACGAAAUUACCCUUCCAAGAGUGAGAUUUUUUUUGGCUGCCGCAGAAUUUAACCGUUACUUUGUUUCCCGUUCAUGCAAAAGCUCUAUGACCCAGAGCUUAUGUGGCACACUGCUUUAAAGACGAAAAGAGUUUAACCAUAACUGAUAUUUCGACAAAUAUUUUAUUCUAGUCAAUUACAUACAUUAAAUCACAACAAUCAAAAUGUAAGUAAUAUUUUAUUCUUAUACUGCUAAAAUAAAUAAUCGAAUAAACAACAUUUUUAGUGACGGUUAUUUUACUCUCUAGCUAGUACUAUAGAAGGAUAUAGAAUAAUCUAGAAUAUUUUUGAAUAUAUUUCUAAUAAUUAUCUCAUUUAUGUAUUUGUGUAUAUUAGGAAACUAGGUUAAUUAGGUUUAUCCUUCUCCUCUCUAUAUAAACAUAUGUAUGUAUCAUAACCUUUAUUAUUAUGAGAGUCAAUAAACAAUUAAAUAAAAUAUUCUAGAUUAUUCUAUAUCCUUCUAUAAGUACAAAUAAAGAAAAUAAGUAAUACUGGGCACUUUGUUGUUUUGUGAUAACUCACAAAAUUUUAUUCGUAUAUUUUAUUUAUAAAAUUAGUACUCAUUAAAUUAUUUUUUAACCUUUUUAUUUUUGUUUUGUCAAAUAUGCAACAAUAGUCCACAAAUACAGCAUUUUUUCUCCCUAUUUUCUUAAAAUAUAAUUGUUCUAUUGCACUACUUAUGAUAAGAUGUAUUUAAUAAGAAGCUUUCAGCACCAACAAAUGAAAACAAAAACAAUUAAGUAAAUGAUGAAGCAUUCUGCAUUACUCCUUAAACUAUCAAUUUGUAGCAUCUAAUUUAUACUCAUUAGGUGUUGGAUUACCCUACAAUCAAAGUUAAUUAUAUACAUAGCACGUCCCUAUAUAUAUAUUAUUCAAUGCUACAAUACAAAAUCAGACUAUAUAUAAUACACAUGCUUUUGUUGUUGACAAAUAAAAACAAAAAAAUCACAUGCGUUUUCACAUUAUUAGCUAAAUACAAAUCUAUAGAAGGAUAAAAAUAUCAAUUUUAGAAAAAUACUACUUUACAUUAAUUAAUUAUUAAACAAACAUUGCUGUACCAAUUCGAAUAAAUAAAAUUCGUAUUCGUGUAAUUAAAAAGCAUUCAUACCAUAAGUGCCUUGGUGGUUAAUACACAUUUGCAUACUUACAGUUAUAAUUAUUUUCUUAAUUAGACACUUCAAUCAAUAAUUCAAGUUUUUCCACAGUAUUUAAAAAGUUUUAAAGCUAAUUUUGGUGUGUCCAACCACUCUUGUGUCAUUAUUUCUCCACAUGAUAAAAGAAAUUCUAUCAAUCGCUAUAUUAUUUCCAUUUUUUCUUAAAUUUUUUGAAACUUAUGAACUUUAAUCACUUAACAAUAUCUAUUAUAUUUUUAACAAAAAGAAAAAACAAUACUAUCUAUUAUAUAUGGCCCCAUUCACUCACCAACCAAGGGCAAAUACGUCAUUUCAGCUUAUCCUUCUUCCCCAUUUAAGAUCCUCCCUCUCCACUUGAAUCAUCGCCGUAAAAAAAUAAAACUUUUAUCUCUCUCUCUCUCUCUCUAUCAGUGAAAAGCUAUGAACAAUCUCAUCUCCCGUAUGAUCCUUCUCUUCAUCACUCUCCUCCUCUCUUUUUCUCUAUCCUCGCCGUAUUAUCCAACGGUCCAUGAGGUUCUCCGAUCAAAAGGUCUCCCGGCGGGACUUUUACCGCAAGAAGUUGAUUCUUAUAUUCUUCACAACGACGGUCGUCUCGAGGUUUUCCUCGCGGCGCCGUGUUACGCUAAAUUCGAGACGAACGUGCACUUUGAAGCCGUCGUGAGAGCGAAUCUCAGCUAUGGGAGCCUCAUCGGAGUAGAAGGGCUAUCGCAGAAAGAGCUCUUCUUGUGGCUUCAGGUGAAAGAUAUCGUCGUCGAGAAUCCAAAUUCCGGCGUCAUUGUGUUUGAUAUCGGCGUUGCUUUUAAACAGCUUUCGCUUUCUCUCUUUGAAGACCCACCCAAGUGUAACCCUGACGGUAAUUUUUGGAUUAACACAAAACGAUUUUUUGGUUUAUUAAUUUUAGUUUUAAUCUGUUUUUUUUUUUGGUUUGUUAUGAUAAAAAUAGUUAUUUGGAUUUUCUUAAUUUAAUAUUCAUAUAUAGUAUACAAUUAUAUCAUCUGAAUUUUCGUUUUUCCUAUUUUUAAUUUUGUCAGCAUAGAAAAUAUUGUUCAGAAAUUUGGCAUUCAUCAGUUAACUAAUUAGUCGGCUUUGAAGCUUAUUUGUUCUACUUUAAACUAGUUUAGUUUUGUGAAAAGUACAUUUUUGUGUUAAUAAAUACUGUUUUUUUACCCCAAAAAUUUUCAAAUAUUUAAGUCGUUCUUUACAAAGUUCUAAGUUGAAUGUUUGUUGCAAAAACUAACAAUUUCAAAAAGGAAAAAAGAAGGUGACUACGACUGACUAAUAUCAAUGUGAUAAGUUACAGAGUUAGUUCUAGUGUAUUUUUUGUUUCAAUGUCAAAUAAUAUCAGUUUUCGCUCUAUUAUUCGUUAAGAUUUUUAAUUUUUUCAGAUCGAGUGGAGAAAACUGUAUAAUUUAAUUGCAAAAUUAGUUUAUUUUUCAAAAAAAAAAAAAGAAUAUUGUUAUUGUGGCUUGUGGGGAAUAGAAGUGGUACAGUGAAGUCAUGGGCUUUGGGUUUGUGUUUUUUCUUUCUCGUUUAUGUUUCGAUGACUUUGAAAACUCUUUUGGAUUUUAUUGUCUGAUAUAUUUGCCAGUUUCAAUACGAGUCUUGUCUCUGUAACUGCUGACAUAACAUUUCCUUUCCUUCUUUUACUUUCUUGUUUUUUACUUGAAUAAGUAGUAUAUUCGAUCAGUAACUUUUACCAAAUUUUAUCAUUGAUUUUUACUUUACCAAAUAUGAAUAUUAUGUACAGUUCUCUUUUCCUAAUUCGAAUAACCCACUUCAAGAAAUGGUAAGAAUGCAUAAUUUGUUCGAAAUUACGUUGUUUCUAAGAACUUUUUUUCAUUUUGGAUCGUACAUUACUCAUCAAAGCAAAGAUUUAAUUAUUGGAUUUAUGUUUCAGGUGUUUUGAAGAAAAAGAUGAGAAGAGAUAGAGGAUUUGAAGCUCAAAUAUGAGAAGUAGAGAGAAAGACCUAGAGGAGCCCGAUUGUCCAUUUGAAAAUUUCCAAAUUGUAAACUAAUCAGAAAGAUUAGUAUGCUAAUUAUAUGAGUAGAAUAGAAUUUUGUUUGAGAGUUCUUGUAGAAAUGAGACUCCCCAUGUUCUAUUCUAUGUUUUGUGUUUUAGUUUAAAAUUCUGUAUCUCAUUGUCUUUGACUAAAUGGAUGAUGUUUAAUGUUUUGUGAUAGUUACAAAGUUGCUCCAAAGCGUAAACUAAUUUAAAUUUGGUCGAUGACCUUCGGUUAAAAUAUACUUAUAGUGUCAAAGACGUCAGUGGACUUAAAAUUUAAAAGGAUUUUACAUAAGUUGAUUUGUGGAGAAUUUAAAUUUUCAUGUAAAAGAAUUUACAUAUACUAUAGGGACAUGAAUUUUUGGAAAGUUAGGUCUGAAUGAAACUGAAGUAAAUACAUUUUUCUGUAAUACUCAUUAACAUUUUUUCUGAAGUUUUGUGAUUAUACACUAAACUAACGUAGAACAAACAUUUGCAACAAACAAAGAUAAUAAUUACUUGACAAAACAAAACUAAAUAUCUCUAAAACGAUUAGUCGGCUUCAAUUCUUCUCAUUCAAGUCGUAGUUAGCUUUGAAUACUCUUUAACCAAUCCUCUCUCACGCAGAAAAGGAGAAUAAACGUGUUUCUGGCUACAGGUCAUCAUCUAUUGUGACCGAACCAUCAAACAAUUCUCGAUCUUGAUUUGUGCGGCAGCACAGUCUAAAUUUUUUUCAGAACUUCGAACCAAUUUCUCAUGAACCUCAAAUUUAGAUUUGCGACAUAAACCAGCAUGAAAUGGUAUAGUGAUAGGAAUUCAACGUUUUUUCAAUAUUUCAACGUUUCAAACAAAAUGAAGUGUGCAUGAUUUCAAACAACUUAUAAUUUGCAUCCUACACUAUUUUUUUUUUUUCAUUUUAAGUUAGUAACAUAAAAAAUCUUUUUUGGCUUCUCUACUUUGUUCCCUCUCUUUUCAUCCAUUCUCUACAAUAUACAACCAUUUUCAGCUCUUUUUCAAAAAAUGCAACAUUUGUUUGUUUUUCAAAAUCUUUGAAACUUCCGUCAAAGUCUCCUCAAACCCUGAGUAAAAAAUGUGCUUACCCUAUAAAUGAAGAAAAUGGAUCCUGAUAAGUGACAAAAGGUAAAAUCAUCAUAAACAUUGACAUUGUGCACUAGAUGUAAAAAUUGAAACCAUAUCGACUCAAAACUCCAUGGACAAAAAAAGUCCAUCUUUGUCUUGGUGUAGAGGUUUUUUAUGGGGCCUGAAAAUGUAUUAGACGCGAGACUAGGUAUGGAUUGCUUACCAAAGGUCACAUUUCACAGCUUGUUGUUCCUUGAUUCAAAUACUUUCUUUAAUGUUUUUUUUUUGCGCACAUCCCCUUAGCUCUAUGGUUAUUUGUAUUGAUUCCAACCUUUGUAAUAUUGUAUGAUCAAGACUUCACUAAUGAAUCAAAACGUUUGAAUAAUAUGGGGAUGAUUAUGAUUUCUACCAUUCUGACUAAUAAUUUACACAUAAAGAGCAAAAAUCAAAAUAAACUCACAUGCAACAUCAUAGUAGAAUAUACGAAACCAAAAAAUCUCAACUAUCUUUACUAAAAUCAGUUUCUAAAUUCAAGGGAAAAUACCACAAAACCGUAACUGAAAUUUUACGUGAUUGUAAAGAAAAUCUAUAAAUGACCCUUUAAAUUUUAUUAAUGAAAAAUUUAAAACAAAAGCUUUAGUUUAUGUAUCAUUGCCAAAAAAUAAAAGAUUUUAUGUAUCAUAAAAAAUAUCCACUGAACAAAAUCGGAAAAUUAUAUAAAUAAACCGAAUCUAGUCGAACAAACAGAUUCGUUAAUAAGAUAUACUUUUGACCUAGUAAACCUUGAUUACAUAAAGAUUAUUUCCUUAAUUACGAUAAUUAAUAAAUAUAAAAUAUCGCCCAUUUAUUGCUCACGUCAUCAUUUUACCUUCGCGGAUAAGGUAUUCUCUUUCUUUAAGAAUCUUCAUCGAAAUCACAACUAUACAUUUUCCAAAAUAUCUCCCAAUUCGUAAUUGUGAUCAAUCUUCUGCGAUUCAAGCUUCUCGAUCGAAGAAUCAUGGGAGGAGGAAGAGCUAUGGCGACGGCAGCGAAAGUUGCUGGAAUCGGAGUUGCUAAAGGAGGAUUCAGGGGAGGAUUUGGAUUUCCUCCGGCGACUGAACAUUUUAGGGUUAAAACCGCGGCGGCGGCGGCGUCUAAACCGGUUUCGGCUUCGAUUUCAUCGGCGGUUCAUCCUUCUGUUGAAGAAGAUGGUAUGAUUAUGCAGAGACCGGUUUGGGAUGAUUGGGAAUUUGCUGAAGAAGAGCCAAUUCCUAGAGUUGUUUUUAGCAAACCUCCUAGUCUUGAAGAGGCUAAAGAAGCUACUGAGGAUCUGAAAGAAGCAAUUAAUAUGUAAGAUUUGAUCCUAAUUUGUGUUUUUGUUUUUUUGAUUCUGUAAAUCUUGAAUAAUUGAGAAUUUGAGGAUAUGUGCUUGAAUUUGAUGAAUUAGGGUUAGGUUUGAAACUCUUUGAAGUAGAAGUUUGUGUUUAUGUGUAUGUUGAUGGUUGUUAAUGGAUUAGGGUGUAUAUGUCAUCUCCAAAGUCGUCUGCUGCUAUGGAAGGAUCAAAUGAUGGUGGUGCUGUUUCCAAAAUGCUCUCAGGUUUUCAAUCUUCUGAGAACAGAGCUGUUGAAUCAGCUGUUCCACAAGUUGCUCUUCAAGCAUUUGCUUUUCUGAGUGAAAACACCGCCGCGCAGGUAUAUUGGUUUCCGAGCUUUCCUCGGUUAAAAUGGUCUCUGCUCUUGUUUGGUAUAUGUCUCAGAUUGCUUCGUAUAUAACCCUUUUGAUUUAACAGAGCUUUGUUAACUCUUUCACAUGUUUGCUUAUUACAGACUGUUGUUGCUUCCAUUGCGUGUGACCCAAAAGUAUGGGAUGCUGUUAUGGAGAAUAAGGAUCUCAUGAAAUUUCUCCAGACCAACAAUACUGGUAACUAAAACUUCGCCAUUACUAGUGAAUCAUUUGGUAUAUGUCUUGAUGAUAAAGCAACUUAACAGAAACUUUGUCUAUUUUUCAGCUGCUUCCUCUCAAGUUGAAUCUGACAAUGACGACCAAUCUGAACAUUCGAGCACGACGGAGUGUGAAGUCAUGGAAACUAAGCCAAUGGAACUCUUAGAGAUUCUGCAGGACAUGAAGCUAAAAGCUGUUCGAUUGAUGGAAAAUGUCUCUUCCUACUUUGGGGACUUGUUUGGGUUAGGAUCAGUUACAGAGGAUGGAAAAGACAAGAAGCAGACAUUGUUCAACGACCCUCGUUCUCUGUUUGGAUUAGCUGUGGUUGUCAUCUUCAUGGUAGUUUUAAAACGUGCUUAAGGUCUCUUGUUCCUGAAUUCGCCGAUAUAGCGGAAAAACAACUACGUACUGUGUGAUUUCACUCCUUUGCUUUCUUAUCGUUUAAACUCUGUUUUUUGUUUAAUUGGAAUGGUUUGGAACCGUCUCUGGAUCUUUUCAUAUUAUAAAAAUAAAAAGAUCCUUUGGAUGUUUUAUCCAUUUAUUUUCUUUGGAUCUUUUCAUAUUAUAAAUGUUAAUCAGAAUCAGAUGGAACAAAACUUUUCUCUCUGUCUCUCCAUCAAAAGAUCAACACUGCAGAUAUGUUGUCUUUUCCUUUCUCGCUCGCAGAUGCCUAAGGCAAAAACACAUAGCUGGCUCGCAAUCAGGAGAUAGUUAAACCAAGUUUGGGAGUUUCCACGUAAUAAAGAGUUUGAUUAGCAUUAAAAGUAGAAUUUAGAAAAGGGAAGCUAAUGAUAUCUCAAAAAGAUCCCAACUAAUUUGGAGAAUGAAGACUUGGUGGGCAAGGCCAUUGCUCUGUAUUAUUAAUUUAGGUGGAGAAGAUGUGAACAUGUGAGGGUGUUUUGUUGCUUCUCAUUCAGAACAUCCUAAUUCAUGUAUUUGCUUCUCAGCUGCCUCUCGAGGCUUCGCAUUGGGAAACCUGCGUCCGUGAGAUCCUCUCUAAUGGCUUCUCAUCUUCCUCAGUGCAGACUCCUCCGUGUUCCAUCAUCUGCGCCGAUCCUUGUGGAGCGGGUCUCGGAAAACUCGUGAUUAUGAAUGCUAAUGAGGGUAAAUGCACUGAUUUGGAAAAGAAGGUGCCCCUGGAGUUGGUAGAUAGUGAUCCAAUGGUGACGAUAGGGGCAUCUCAUGGCUGGGUAGCUACUUUGAAGGACGACGGAGUAGUGCGUCUCCAAGAUGAUCUAAACCCGGUUGCAUCAGAUACAAACCCUAAACGCAUUCCCCUGCCUCCUCUUGUAACUUUGCCUCGCUGCCAAACCCAAAUCGUGACCAACGUGGCCAUGUCCUCAUCUUCUCCCAAGGAUGAGGACUGUGUCGUGGCUAUCAAGUUCUUGGGGCCUCAACUCAGCUUUUGUAGACCGGCACAAAGUAACUCCGAGUGGAUCAACAUCAGAAUCGCAAACCCCGGCUUCUUCUCCUCCCGUGUCAUGUAUUCCAAGAAAGAUGACAUGUUUCGUAUUCCCGGGUCUGGAGGCCACCUCAUCGGAUCAUGGGAUCCCCGCACAGAGUAUCACAAUCCCAAGAUUCAGAGGCUGCGAUUCCGAAACCUUCCCGAGCUUCCUAAGACCAAGAGGGAGCUUCUGGAUUCGUGCUACAGGAGUGAACACUUGGUGGAGUCAAGAACCACCGGUGAAACUUUCUUGGUAAAGUGGUACAAGAAGGCCACCACCAAAGAUACGGUAAAAAUGAAAACAAAAGCUGUAAUGGUGUUCAAGCUAGACGAAAAAGGAAACGCUGUUUACACUAAAGACAUUGGAGAUCUUUGCAUUUUUCUCUCAAAGUCUGAACCUUUCUGUUCUAGCAGCUCCAUGUUCCCUAACUGCGUUGAUAUAUGUGAUGUCGACGAAGCAGCAAUUGCCUCUCUGGAGUAUGACUCCAUUAUUGGUGGAACUUGUACAAACGGGGCACUUACCAUAUUCCACCUCAAAAUAUAGACUAUUAAUUUAGGAGUUAGAGUCUGAGUCUUGAGUCUGUUUUAUCUCUUAAACCUUGGAAACACCAAAUCUAUUAUAUCAGUGCUCUUUGAGAAAAAUUUCUUUACCUUUGUGAAGUAACUUGUUGAUGGGUUUUCCUUUUACGGUUCUUCAGAAUGAUUUAACGUCUCUGCUACAGUUUAUUGUUAUGUGAAUAAAACAAAAGAUAUUGAGUUCAAAAUUGAGAAACAAUUUAGAUUUCAGAUUAAACUGAAUGCAAGUCACUAUGCCCAGGAAACAGAACAGAGUUGACACCUAAAGUGACUUUAAUAUUCUUCUUACAAAUGUAUGCUUAUUUAGUUUCAUAGAAACAAAAGUAACUCAUUGGCUAUUGAUGGGGAAUAAGAGGGUAUAUCCACGCUCACCGUAGUCACUGUGUGAAAGGGACUUUCAAACAUGCCUUGCUAAAUAAGUCACAUAUACGAAUGGAAAUGCAAAGUCUUGAGAAUUUAAGAUUUUAUCUGAUUAAUGAAGACGAACUAAAUCAAGUAGAUAAUUCUCACAUUACAAUUACAAAUAGUAAGCUCACUGAACUUAAUGCUCUAUAUCGACCUUCUAUGAGCUUGAAAUCUUUUGGCUCUUGAAAAGUGAUGUGGGCUCUUUACACGACUUUCCAUACUGCCUAACCUUAACUCUUUCAGGACAUGAUACCUAACUAUACAUUUAUCAUGUGUAUUUAUUUAUUAUUUGGUAUAGAAUACUUGUUAUAUCUUCCUGUUUUGGUAUAGACUAUAUUCUUCAAGCAACUUCAACGACAUAUAUAGCGGUACCUUCAUUAAUAAGAGCGAUUACGUACUACAUUUUCAACUUGGACUAAUCAUGCUUGCCGUUUAUUGAAAGUCGCUGGAAAGUGAAUGUUUGUCUCACCAAAAUCGUCAUGCUUAACUUAAAUAGAGAACUGAUCAGCAAAUAAAUUUUAUCUUUUUAUUGAAUUUACCAUUGCAUUUCUUUCAUACAUAGUUACAUACAUGUAAAGUUGUAUUUCUUCCGUAUAUAGAUUGAUAUGGAUUGCUUCUUUAUGGGUUGAUAUGGAUUGAUCACAUUUGAACUCCAUAUAUAGUUCCUCAUAAUAUGCAUUUACAAAUAAUGCUAUUAAGUGAGCUUUGCCUUUGAUCAGUCUUUAAAAUCUCUCUCUUUCAAAUAGUUUCAUAUGGAUAGAUGGGAAAUUGGAACUUUUUAGUUUUUAGUAAUUAACUAAAAAUAAAUAAAAAUGGGAUUUCAAGAUAUUUAAAUUCCAUUGGUUUCCCCUUACCAUUUCAGUUUUGUUAUGUGGUUUAUCUCAUUGGGCUAACGGACCGAGCUCAAGUCCUUCUCAAUCCAUUUUGUGGAGUUUCUCCUUUUGAAUUUGGAUUUUAGAGAUUUUUGUUUUUUUUAAUUGCCAAAGAAAGAUAAAUUCAGAAAUUAGAUAUCUUUAUCUCUAUGACAAAUAGACCACUUUCAUGUGUUAGUCCAAUAUGAGUAUAUUGAGGCCAAUUUUGUUAGAUAUAUAGAUUGAAUAUGUUGUCUAUGUAUAUCAUUUUUUGUUAUGUAGUCCAUUUAAUAUAUAUAUAUAUAUAUAUACAUAUAUAUAUGUAUGUUCAAACCCUCUCUCAGUGGUCUAUUUGUCAUAGAUCAGGUUCAAACCCUCUCUCAGUGCAACAACGGUGGACUGACUUCCGUAUUGUUUUUCACCAUUACUUUUUUUUAGAAGCAUGAGAGUAAUUCCAAUGGGGCGAGUACAUGUUGGGCCACCUCUCCUACUUCUGAGCUGCUUAAAUCACUAGCCUACUAUGAAAAAUUUGAAAUAUCACAGCCGCUUUAAUAUGAAAAAGACAGCACAACAAUAAACUUAAUUAAAAUCAGUGGAACAAGAUUAGAGGGUAUGCAAAAGCUAAAAAUGCACAUUUACAUAUGUAAAAUGAUUACAAACCUAAAAUGCAUGUACUUUCAAUGUUCAAUCUUUUUUAUUGUUUUUUUUUCUGACAGCUAAUGGGUGCUAUUACACAGAAGGAGUAGCUGGUGAUCAUGUUGAUUUUUGUAAUAAUCUAUAUAAUAUAUUCAAGUUCAUUACCUGUACAAAGGUGGUUGAGAAAAUGGCAAAACAGAUUUUGAAUGGAAAAAAGACAAUGGGAGCAAUGUGAGACAUCGGCAAAUUAAGUAAACUUUUACAUCAUUUUUUACAACCGAUACUUAACCUUUGAUUAUCAUCAAUUUUUCUUGAUGUAAAAUUUGAAUCAUUUUAAAAAGUGAUGUUACCGAAAAUUUAUAGAUGCAUCAAUUAUCUAAAUGAUGUAAACUUGUAUUUGUAUCAUCUUUUUGAAAAGUGAUAUAAACUAAUAGAAAUUGAAUCUAUUUUAUUCAAUUAAUGUCAAACUAGUUAAUUAUCCUAUUUAUCUGUCUCUCUCUCCCUUCCUAUUUAUCUGUCUCUCUCCCUCCCCAGAGUCCGACUCCAUCAUAUUCAUGUUCUUCCGUCAAUCUCUUCACCAACUAAACCAAGCCAACUAAACCCUCCAAUUCUCUACCAAAACACUCACUUUUGCACUGUUGAUGGAGGAUAUUGUGUGUUGAUGGCAAGCAAACACUCAUCGGAGCCGGAGUUUCACUUGCCGCUGCUUUUUCAGCCUCUCUCUGGGAGUUUUUAUGUUUUUGUUCUUCUGAAGUGAUUCCCAGCAAGCAUGAUUAUGAGCUUUAUCAGCCUCUUUGAUUUCCUUCUUCUUUUUUUUUUCACCUUCUUUUCUCUCUUUGGCUUCUAGAUCUCGGUCAAAUUUGGAGGACAUGGCGAGAACGCCGGUGGCACCGGUGAGAACACCUCCAACAGCACUUGGGAGAUGAAAGUUCAUAUGGAAAGACGGGAAAAGGCUCGUUUCACUGGUGUCAUCAUCGUGACAGUUGAGAUUAGAGAGAGAGAGAGUGUAUCUUAUAGAAGUUGUGAAAAGAGACGAUUUUAAUAACAAAAAAACUCACUUUUGCACAACUCAUAUUUACAUUGCUGCCAUUGAAAAAAAAAAAUUUAAAACAUUCCUAUUAAUCAUAUGGGUUUAGUUUAGGUGUGAAUUCAAUUGCUUUCUUUAUCAAUUCGAAGAAUUUCUUUAUAAUUUCAUGUAUAGCAGAAAUGCUUGAUCUCUAAACUAACAGGAAUUAGGCUUCUGAUCUACUUGGAUCACUCUGAUUUGUUUGGGAUUUAUUCAGGUUAGUUUGUUUAUUGAAACAAUCGAAAAUACUGAGUUUAUUUUCUAAAUGAAGAUUUGAUUCGCAUUUGAAUUUCUUUUGUAGCUCAACAAAUUGGUGGCUUAAUUGUUUGUUUGGUUCAUUAUUUGUUUGUAUAUACAAAAGAUUGGAAAUUGAAUAUGAGUUUAAUUAAGUCUGAUUGAGUAAUGUUUUUUGGUGCUUAAGAGAAUUGCAGAGGUAAAGGAAAACAAGACAAGGACAUUGGAAGAGUUUUUGUUCGCAUUGCUAAUUCUGGAUGCCUCUUGAAUUACAUGUUCUGUCCAGAAACCUCAGAAUUAAACAACAUCGGACUACGACCAAAAUCUCUGUUUUUGAUUUCAGGUGCAAUGUAAAAAGUGUGUUGGAAUUGAUAUCUAAAGAAACUAUAUGAACUUGAAAAGAACUUUUGCAACAACUUAUAAUGUUAUCUUCUUCUUCCAUAAAAUCUUUCACAUUCAUAAAGAUGAACCAACACAUUAAGGUUCCACCAAUACCAACAUAAACUACACAUCAAAAUCAAAGUUGUCAACAGACUAAAACAAACCAUGAAAUAAUCCUCAAAAUUCAGGUUUCAUGGUAUAAGCAAGUAGCUCAAGCAUCUGGCUGCUCCUUAAUACACAAAGCAAUUAUUCAACUCUUUAGCCUUGUCAUCACCAAUAAGCUUGACUCUCUCAAAAGCAUCCUUCCCCGAAAUCACACCUUGAGCAACACUAAUUUCCACCAACUCAUCCUCAGUACCAUCAUGCUCAGUUUCUGUAACACAGAAGAACCAUAGAUAAUCUUAAAACCUCAUAAAACAUAACAUAUCCAGACUUGAUCGAGCUUCUACAGAGUAGAAACAGAGGAAAUGGUGUUAUAUGUACCUUUCUGUUCGAGAUUAGAGAGAGAGAGGAGCGAGAUCAUCGGUUGGUUUUUCCUUAACAACACCUAUUCUUUGAUUCAAUCAGAUAUCCCAAACCAAAGGCCUAUGAAAGCCAACAAAACGACUUUCAAAGUGAAGUGACAAAUCCAAUAUUAUCUCAAAAAUGUUCAAAACUACUGGAACAACAACAACAUGCACCAAUCCAAUUAGCUAUGAACUGGUAAUAGUGAAAUCUACUUGUGAAUGCAUGACUAAAGACUUUCAGUUCCAAGCUACUAGUCUAUAUUUUGAGGUGGAAUAUGGUAAGAAGCGGCUACACACAUAUAAUUUCUACCAAUGGUGGAGGAAUAACGCAGACAAACAAAGGUUUUUCCGUCGCAUCCAAGACUUCGCCACUGUUAGAGUACAUACCAGGGAAUGAGCUAGUAGCGACACAAAAAGGUUCAGACUUUGAGAGGAAAAUACAGAGGUCUUCAAUGUCUUGAGUGUGAACUGUGUUGCCUUGUUCGUCAAGCUUGAACACCAUUACAGCUUUCGUUUGCAUUUUUACCGUACCACUGGCGGUGCAUCGUGACUCCACCAAGUGUUCACUCUUUGCAAGUUGCAACACGAAUGCAAACGCUCCCGUUUGGUCUUGGUCAGCUCGGGAAGGUUUUGAAAUCGCAAUCUUUGAAACUUUGGUUUGUUCUUGUGAAGUCAUGUUCACUUGUUUGUGUUUAGUUCGGAUUGUAGUCGGUUCAGAGUUAGUCUAGGUUUUAAAACGUGUAAAAAAACAAGAGAUUAGAUAUCAUCAAUUAUAAAUACUAUCUACAUUUAACAAAUUACUUUUUCUCUUAAAAACUACCUAUACUGCUAUACACCCAAAAAUAAAUAAUACUAAUGAAUCAUGUUCUGUGUUAAGAUUUGGAAAAUUAAAUAAAAGAUAUGAAAAAAAGAUUUUGGCUCCAAAGAUCUUGCUUAAAUAUGAUGUUUCCUUUUUUUGUUAACGAUUUUAAAGCAAGUUUUGUUAUAUUUCUGUUUGUUUUCUUAAUUAGUUAAUUUACACUAAUUGUAUUUGAUUAAUUUUUUUUUUGGUCGUAACUAUGAUUCAUAAUCAACACUAAACUUAGAUUUUUAGUUGGUUUUAAUUAUAACUAUAGUAAGCAACAUCUAUAUAUUAUUACUUUAUUAUAAUAAAAACAUUACAACUAUAUGUUUUUUAAAGCAAACUUAUAAAUUGACUCGAAUUGUAUAUGUUUUUAAAUAAAAAUAUUAUUAAAAAGAAAUAUAACAAAAUGAUGUUUAAUUUCAUGGGACGGGUUAUAUGGUGGGACGGGUUUGGGUCGAUAUUAAUACGGGACGGUAUACUACGGGUGAAAUCCUUGGAUUAACAAUCAAAUACAGUUAUAUAAUCUUAAACACUAAAUAAAAUAAAUAAUAUUAACAAAAAAUACAACUUGAAAUUUAGAAAUUAUUGUUAUAAAAAAUCGACCCGAAGUAUCUCGGGGUAAUAUAUAUAAUAUAUACAUAUGUAAGUAUUAUUUAACCAAACAAAACAAUAGGUUAUAUCUAUAGAUAAUUUUCAAACUUUUGUUUAAAGUAUAGCCCCGCGGUGUACCGCGGGUUAAAAUCUAGUACUACAUAUUUAACAAAUUACUUUUUCUCUUAAAAACUACCUAUACACCCAAAAAUAAAUAAUAAUGAAUCAUGUUCUGUGAUCAUGAUAAAACAUCAUCUAUAUUAUACAUUUUUGGUGAAGAUUUGGCCUCAAAAAUCCUUUUACAAUUUCAAUAUUGUUAUAUUUAGUCCCGUACAAAUCAAAUCUGACAAGACAUUAGUCUUAAUGAAAUGUACAAAUCAAGUCAUAAUCUCUACAAACCAUUCCUAUCUUAAUGAUUACGAGAUGAGAGAUCCUAACAUNNNNNNNNNNNNNNNNNNNNNNNNNNNNNNNNNNNNNNNNNNNNNNNNNNNNNNNNNNNNNNNNNNNNNNNNNNNNNNNNNNNNNNNNNNNNNNNNNNNNACUACUAACCAAUUGCCAAGCCAUGGAUUCGCUGCAGGAUAUAUAUACAAGGAUAAUAGCAGGAUACAGAGAAUAAGGUAAAACCCUAAUGGGCUGUGGGCCGGUUAUGGAGUCCAUCCAUAUGGUUUAUAACAACUAGAUCGAUUUUAUAGCAAUUAUUUACUACUCUUUAGAAACGGAUUGAUAGCAUAUUCCAAAAUACUAAACGAGUACAAAGAUUUUAUUCCAAUUUAGUUACAGUAUCAAAUAUAUUAUGCUUGGCGUUCAAGAGAUUUGUGACGUAACUUAGCAGCCUAUAAAUACUCUAAAGCUUUACCUCUCAUAACAUCAUCGAACACACAAUGCAACUCUCUGAAUCUGUAGAACGGGAUUUGUCGAGCUUCUGUCUUUGGGCUGAUCGUGUCAAGUUUAGAUACCAACCACUGGUCUUCUCCGCUUCACUAUAUCAACAUUCCUGAUGCAUGUUCAUACCAAUACAAUAGUAAGCUUUUUUAUAUAUAAUAUCCAUAUCACAAAACAAUCAAAAGUAUAAGUCUUAUGAUGCCAACCACAUUUUUUUUGUUUCGGGUCCAAAGGGGACUGCAAGGACGAAGCUGGAGAGAGAGAAAGAUGUGUUGCAGGAGCCAUUUACAUGUGUGUUAUCCAUCAGGUAUAAUUAUAAAUUCGAUCAAGAUAACCUAUUUCUUAGCCAGAUAUGUCUAAAUAGCAUAGUUGUAAAGUGCAGCCUCUACAUGUGGUUAUGCUUCAGCAAAGGAGGGAACACCAUCGAAGUGCAUUGGUACAGGAGAAAAGCUAACCUCCACCAUGUAAGAACUGCCAAACGCAUAUAAUUUGAGCAUCAGAUAAUUCAAGUCUCUAAAAUUUAGAUUCAUACAGAUAUGGGAUUCCAAUAUUAUCAAAACAGCUGAAACCAAUCUCUAUAACUCCGAACUAGAAGGAAUGGUGGAUGCAAUCUAAAAGAAUAUAACGGUACUCUUGAAUCAAAAAGAUUGUUCUCUACCUGCUUACUACAAGAUGUUUUUUACUUGCUGACAUAUAUAUUUUAAUAAAUUGUAGACAGAAUGGGCAGAUCAAGUAAAGAGAUGGGAAAGCUGAAAGAAGACAGCAUGAAUCGAUGCCUCUGAGUCGAGAAACCACCUUUUUUUCUUUUGUGCCUUCUCCAAAUUGAUUUGGUCCCAACUUUCUUCAAGGAUCCUUAGUCAGCCGACUUCGUUCAUUUGGUUUAAUCUCCUCGACGAGAUUCUCAUUUCUCGACUUCUCAGGCAAUCCAAAGCUUCGUUACCUCCUGCUCUUUGCUUGGAAAAUCACAAUCUAUGAGAUAUGGCGAGAAAGAAACUAUCGACUUCAUCGGAAUAUCAACAAAUCUCCGGACUCGAUCAUCUGCAGCAUACAAUUCACCAUCAAAAACAGGAUCUCAACUUUCCGAUCUGAGAACCCAGCAACAAGAAGCGACAUCAUGCAGCUAUGGAUCUCUCUCGGCUGAUUUCUUCUCUUCGUCACCACUCACCAUCCAUCGUUUUCCACUACUCAAAGGAAUGGGCUGGGCUUCUAACAUAUGGGUUCAAUUAUAUUGUGUAAUGGGUUUAUCAUAUACGGGCUGUAAACUCUAAUGGCCUUAAUGCCACUUUUUAAUUUUAUGCAACGAAUUAACAAAAAAAAAAAAAAGACAGCAUGAAUCCAUAUUUGGAAGCCAAUCUUAUAUAUAUAUAUAUAUAUAUAUAUAUAUAUAUAUAUAUCUUUUUUUUUUUUGUCGGUAUCUUAUAUAUAUAGAUAUUAGGGCUGGGCAUUCGGGUAUGCGGGUCGGGUUCGGGUAAAACCCGAUCGGGUAUGGGUCUUUCGGGUAGAGGAGUUUAGGACCCAAUAGGGUAAAUCUAAAAUAUCGGUUCGGUUUCGGUUCGGAUCUAAUCGGGUUUGGGUCGGUUCGGGUUUAGAUUUUUAAAACCGCUAAAUACCCAAAAAAAUCGGGUACCCAUCGGGUUCGGGUAUUUUAUACCCAAAUACCCAAAAUUUUACCAAAUACCCGAAUUUUAUCCGAAAUUUUAUCCUAAUAUCCGAAUUUUAUCCGCAAUUUUACUCUAAUAUCCGAGUUUCACCCGAAAAUUUAUCCGAAUAACCGGAAUUUUUUCCAAAUAUUUAAAAAAUUUACAAGCAUCUCGCGUAUAAAUAUAUUUUGUCUUAAAUAUUUAAAUAUAAAUGCAUUAAUUUUUGGUAACUAUUCUCGGAUAUUUAGAUAUAAAUGUAUUUAGCUCAAAUAUUACAUAAUAAAAAGUUUUAUAUGUAUAAAUAUAUGUAAUUUCGGGUAAUCGGGUACUCGUUCGGGUAUCGGGUUCGGAUCGGGUUUUACCCUAUACCCACGGGUACGGCAAUACAAGACCCAAUAGGGUAAAUAGCUAAUACCCGUACCCGCCCCGAACCGGUUUUUUCGGGUCGGUUUCGGUUCGGGUACUCGGGUACGGUUUUUCUGCCCAGGCCUAAUAGAUAUCUACAUAUUAUAUUUAGAAAACAAAUUAAUAUUGUAAUAUUUUAGAAUUCUCAUAACGAGUAUGAUUAUUAAAGGUUAGUCCGAUAUACUAAAGGCCAAAUCUCUUAAUAUUUAUAGAAUUAUGUUACAAAAUAGUAAUGUAAUGUUUCUAAUUAUUCAUUGUAUUUUCCUUUUUAAAAAAAAAAAAAAUACACACAUAUUUGGCCGAUUAAAAAUAAAUUUAUAAAUCGUUACUUACUCAAAUAGUUACUUACUCAAAUGUAUGUUUUCUAUGCACACAUAUUUGGCCCAAUAAAAAUACAUUAAAAAAUGCUUAGAACAUAACAAUAUGAUAUAUAGAUAUAGAUGUCUUAAAAAAAUUUACAAUUUCAAUCGGUUAUAACUAUAGAUAAUCAUCAAACAUUUAAUAUUAUAAAUUUUUAUACAAUCGUUUAAAAUAACAUAUAGUCUCGCAGUGUACCUAUAGAUAUAAUAUCCAUAGAUAUAAGUACAUUUAAAUAAAACAAAACAAUAGGUUAUAUCUAUAGAUAAUCUUUAAUAAAAUAAAUUUUUAAUUUUUUUUUUUAAAUAUAGGCCCGCGGUGUACCGCAGGUUAAUCUCAUUAAAGUCUCAUAUUAUAAAAUUUGUCUUUUUCAUUUCUAUAAAUAUAUUAACACUUAGUUGUCUGAAAUAUAAAAGAACAAAUAAAUACAAUAACUCUUUACAAAUAUAAUGCAUACAAAAUUUUGCACUACCACCGCUUUGUUUUCCUUUGUACAAAAAAAAUAAUAAGAGAUAUCAUAUUUCAAUAUUUAUAACCAUAAACAAAAUUUACAAACCAACACAAAUACUUGCACACAAAUAUAUACAUAUAUAUAUAUAUAAAGUCCUUACACACUUUCAAAACUAUUUAAAUAUACAACAAACACAAUAAGAUGAUACGUAAUUUACACACACCGUACAUUGUUGCUUACUAAAUUGUAAUCUCAUUUUUUUUUUUUUUAUUAUAAAUAUUCAAACAUACAACAUACUAAUCGUACAAUGAACACUAUAUAGAUUUCUAUAUACAUUCUAAUCAGACAUGUAAAUAUGUAAAUAGGUUAUAUAAAUACUUAUUAUAUUAAAAAAAUAUAUUAUUGAUUGUUUCUCAAACAGACAUAUAUUAUUAUUUAGAAUAAAAAUAUAAUCCCGCGGAGUACCGCGGGUCAAUCCCUAGUAAUUCUACAAAACCAAAUAUUUAAGGCUCCCAAAUCCAUUUCUAUAAUAAUACAGAUGAUUGAUGAUGUUAAUUUUUACCCAAAUGUGAAGAUGCAUGGCAAAUGUGACACGUGAACGGCACGAUGGUGGCGUAAGGGGCGUUCCCAUACGACGCAACACAAUGAACGAUGUGGUCAGAGCCAAUUCUUUUGUUUGACUUGGGCAAAAAACAACGGAGCAUUGACCUUGAUCGACGGACAAAGAAGCCUCGUGCACUUGGCACUAAUGGACAUAGGUUACACUUGAUUAUAAUAGACAAAUAAGACUAUAAACGUAAUCAAAAUCAUUAAUUUUACUAGCAUGAAAAAAGAGUAAUUUAUUUACAUUGUACUAAUAUACUAUCAUGAUGUAAGUUAUCCUAAUUCAAAUUAGUAUUUAGUAUUUACGUAUUCUUUCCUUUUCUACCGCAUACAUACAUAUUUUCAAUAGAAAAUAUUUGAAUCUGUGUUGAGAAGUAAAGGUUUUGAAAUGAUAAUAAAUCAUAUUGUUAUCAUUGGCGGUUGCAGAAAUUAUAUUUAUCUAGGCCAUAAUCAGUGUCGGCCCAAUAUAAUUAGAGGUUUUAGGAUAAAAAGUUUAUGGAUCUUUUAGUUUUUUAAGAGAUUUUUUUAUAUUUUGGACAUAUUAAAAAAAAAAACUCUUUGUCUAUUUUUGAAAAAAAGAUGAAAGUUUUAUAUAUUUGGACCUAAAUUUAGUACUUUUAAGGCUUUUUUAUAAUAUUUUAGAAUAUAAAACAGUUUGGAUCUUUUUUAGUACAAAAAUAUUAAACAGACCCUUUCUUUUAGAAUUGGGUACGACUCUGUCGCUUUUUUUUUUCAUACCCAUUUGGUCCAUGCUUGGGCACAAUCCUAGGAAAUUUGAUUUUUUUAUUAAUUUGAAUAGAUAUAUUACAAAAUUUAACUAAAAAUUACAUGAAUUAUGAAAAUGAGUAUGUGAUACUUGCUCUACCCCUCAUAAGUCUAUGUCCGCCCCUAACUGUUAUGUGACAUACGUCUUCGGAUCAAAAUAAAACAACAUAAUUUUAAAAGAUCCAAAGAAAACAAACCAAAGUAAAAACAAACUCAUAAGCCUAAUAUAAGCAAGUGCAUACAAAUAUGGGUCAUCACACCAUUAUAAGCUUGAUCUCGCUUAGCUUUGUUAAAAGCUUGUGUCUUCUUUGGACUUGGAUACUUUUUCUUCUUCUGAAAUACCUCCCAAGCUGUAUCCUCACGAGCUCUCUCUCGCCUCUUUGGCCCUCCUCUCAAAGUCUGAUCCGUUCGCUAUCCCUGCUUCUUCCUUCCCUGGCAUGUCCCCUAACUACGUCCAAUUCUUCGAUGUCGAAGAGAGCAUCUCCGUCAGUCUGCCUCAUUCAUCCAUCGUUGGUGGAAAUUGUACAUUCAAGGCACCUUACCAGAUUCUACCUCAGAACAUAUGCUAGUGGUUUGACAUUGUCAACUAGUCGUUUGGAGUUGAGUCUACUAGUUGAGUCUUCCAUUGUUUGAGUCUUAAGUAUGCGUCUGUCUUUUCUAUUAAACCUUUCAAAAAUUAAAUCUUCUGUGUUUAUAUACUCUCUGUGAGAGAGAUUGAUAUGCGUAUGCUCUUAGAGAACUUUGCUAUCAUCUCUUAUCAUCCACUUAUCAGUAAUUUUUACUAUGUGAUGUCAUGUCAUACUUGUUGUUUCUCACUAGACCAUGGACCAAGAAAUACAAUAUUGUUUAGUCCUGUUUUCACUGGUAGGACUCUUGCCCAAUCUAGCUGAGUGUCAAAAAGAUUCUUAAUAAUCAAUUUGGCUACAUGUCAUCUUCUGUUAGACUACUUCUGUAAAGCUUUUUCAUUAGCUUACCUCUAUGUGGUUUUUCGCCACCGUUGUUCAAGUUGAAUCGUCAUUUUGAAGCUGCAUCCUGGGGAUAAUCCUUUUGUUUUCAGUUUUGCAAAGGCAAGAACCAAAAAAAAAAACAUUAUGCCAGAUUCAUAACGAGUACACUAAUAUAGUUUUAUUUAUUUAUACAUUAAUAUAGUACCUAAAAUGCUUACAUUUGAAAAUUCUCAUAACAACUCUAUUAAUUCACAUUUGAAAGUUUAAGAGUAAUGUAGUCUUUCACAUUUGUUUCAUAGUAUUAGAAGAAAGAUCUCUUUUGAACUAUGAUUCACUCACAUUAGACAUAUAUAGCGUUACCUUUAUUAAUAACACAUUUUCAACUCUGGACUAAUCAUGGUUGUCCUGAAUUGUAAGUCAUUUUAAAAUGAAUAUUUGUAUCAUAAAAAUCGGCAUUAUUAACUAAAAUAGAGAAUUGAUCAGAAAAUCAAUAUAUAUAUAUAUAUAUAAUUGAAUUUACCAUUGCAUUUUUAAGGAGGAAUCGAAUUUUUUUCUGAUAAACGAGCUUUAUAUUAAAACUCUCGAAAUGCUGAGAAGAAGAAGAAGAAAGGCUGCCUUUUCUAACUUGGGCCGAAAUAGGCCUGUCUAAUCUUUAAUUUAAUGGGGCUUAAAGUGGAAAUAUAGCCCAAUAGAAGCUUCCGUGGUUUUAAAUAGUUUUUUUUUUGUCGAUUUUUUUUUUGGUAAACUAAAAAGAGUCUUUUGCAAAAUAACCACUUUUGAUAAACUAUUUAAACAUAUAGCACCAUAAUGUUAUAAAUUAAGUAAGUAACACAACUAAAGAAGGAAAUGUCUACAAAGUCCUUCACAUUUGUGCUUUUGGACGAGCGCGUGAGGAGUGAAAAACGUGGGCUGACGUAGUGACGGUGGCAGGGAUCGUGAUGGUGAUGGCCGCAAUGGCGACGGUGGCAGUAGCGGUGGUCUUUCACACUCUUUUUGGUGAUGAUGAUGAUGAUGAUGGCGGUGGUUGUUGUCGCCGUGGUGAUGGCGAGUGGCGACUUUAACUCCAUUAUCUUCAUCAUCAUCUAUUCAUCUUCAACGAUAGUUUGCAGCGUAAUAUGAGAAGAAGCAUCCAAUUCCAGAAUCACAAACUUUCAUUAUCUAAUUAGGGACCAUUCUAAUUAAUAUCAAACAAUAUAGAAUCAUCACCAAAAUAGUAUACUAUUUAUCUAAAGUCAACAGCGACUCCAAUUUUACGGGGUGUGGGAGUUGAAGUUACAGCGGAGUAGUCGUGAUGGUGAAAGUGACGCAGAGAUGGAGCCUGCGAGUUGGAUUGCUAUGAGGCCCUCUGUCUCUGAUCAUGGCCAGGCCAACUAGGAAAAAGAAGAAAUUUGAAGUGACCCUAAUUAGAUUGAAUCAAAAAAUUGGGUUCAAUCUAAUCGAAAAUCAAUUGAAUCAAAAGAAGCACAAUCCAAAUUCAUGAAAGAGAACUCUGAAAAAUUCUCGUAGAUGAAGUCAUGAAGAUGAAUGAGAAAGGAAGAAAAAAAAAGGAGACGGAAAAAAAGCGUGAAGUUUACAGUUUUUACACCGAGGACAAAAUUGUCAUAAAUACAAAAAAUACAGAGAAUAUCAACUGGUUUUUUGUUUGAUGUUAGUUUCUUAAUUUAUAAAUUUUUUUGUUGGACCUUUUUGUGGUUUUGUUAUUGGAAUGUCCAUAACCUGAAAAAGUAAAGGAAGCUUAGCUUUGUACAAGUAAGCAAUUACCUAUUUCUACUCUGUUUUUUUGCACUUAAAAAGUAUUCACCUUUUGCUAUAGAAUAAUAAAUAUGUCAUUCACUUCUAAUAUCUAACAUAGUUAAUUCAAUGGCUAUCUGUUUUAAUGUCUUCUUGUUUUUUCUAUUAAUAAAGCCAAUUCCUAGGGCUUUAUUCAGCAAAAGGCCAAGGAAGCCACUAUAAAGAUCUGAAAGAUGCAAUCGAUAAGAAUGUAUCCUAAAAUGUGUACUUGUUUUGACUCUCACACUCGAAUUAUGGGAUUUAAAAGUUCAUCGAUUGACUUAAUUCAUAUAUUCAGGGGACUUAAUUCAUAUAUUAAAAAUUUAAAACUCUCGAAAUGCUGAUUUGUUUCAAUUUUUAAAUAUUUAGUAAAGUAGAUUUGUUUCAAUUUUUUACUCCACGAAGAUAAAAGUGAUAAAUAUCAAUAAUGAAAAGGAUAAAUCUCAACAUAUUGCAUUUUUUUUGAUAAAAAAACUUGGUGGGUUAAAUAUAGGGUUUUAGGAGGAGAAGAUCACCAUUUCUUCAAUUAGGGCUUCUUUAUUUGAAUCUCUUGAUUUUCCAUAAGAACACAUCCUAGUUCAUGUCUCUGCUUCUAAGACGGCUCUCGAGGCUCCGCCUUGGGAAACCUUUGCUGGUAAGAUCCUCGGUUCUUCUUUCUAAUGGCUUCUCAUCUUCCUCGCUGCAAACUCCUCCUUGUUCCAUCCUCUACGUCACUCCUUGUGGAGCUGAUCUCGGAAAACUCGUGAUUUCGAAUGCUGAUGCACGUCACUGCAUUAAAUUGGAAAAGAAGGUGCCUCUGGAGUUGGUGGAUAGUGAUCCAAUGGUGACGAUAGGGGCAUCACAUGGCUGGGUAGCUACUUUGAAAGACGACGGAAUCGUGCGUCUCCAAGACGAUCUAAACCCAUAUGCAUCGGAUACAGAUCCGAAACGCAUCUCGCUGCCUCCUCUUGUGACUCUGCCUGGUUGCCAAACACAAGUUGUGACCAACGUGGCCAUGUCCUCGUCUUCCCCGGAGGAUGAGGACUGUGUUGUGGCUGUCAAGUUCUUGGGGUCUCAACUCAGCUUUUGCAGACCCGCUCAAGCUAACUCCGAGUGGCUCAACUUCAGGAUCGCUAGCCCCUGCUUCUACUCCUCCCCUGUCAUGUUUUCCAAGAAACAUGACAUGUUUCGCUUUCCCGGAUCUGGAGGCCACCUCAUUGGAUCAUGGGAUCCUCGGGCACACAAGCACAAACCCAAGUUCCAGAGGUUGCGAUUCCAGAACCUUCCCGAGCUGACCAAGACCAAACGGGAGCUUUUGCAAUCGUGUUGCACGAGUGAACACUUGGUGGAGUCACGAUCCACCGAUGAAACGUUCUUGGUUAAGUUAUACCGGAAGGUCACGGCCAGUGGUACCGUGAAAAUGCAAACGAAAGCUCUAAUGGUCUUCAAGCUUGACGAAGAAGGAAACGCGGUCUACACUAAAGACAUCGGAGAUCUCUGCAUUUUCAUCUCACAGGCUGAACCGUUUGCUGUCCCUGGCUUGUGCCCUAACUGGGUACGAGUCUUGGAUAUCGAAGAAAGCAUCUCUUUCUAUCUGCCUGAUUCCUCCAUCUGUGGUGGAAAUUGUUCAAAACGAGCACCUUACCAUAUUCCACCUCAAAAUAUAGUCUAGCUAUUAGUUUGGGAGUUAGAGUCUGAGUCUAGAGUCUGUCUUUUCUCUUAAUUAAACCUUGGAAACAUCAAACUAUUUUUGUCUAUGCGUUCUGAGAUUGAUUGAUAUGCAUUUGGUCUUGAACUUUGUCUUGCUCUUUGCCUCCAUAACUCAUAUAUGUAGGAUUUAUAUAUCGAAUAUCGAAUGUUGUGACACCCCUUUAAGCAGUGGCUAUCAAUUAGCAUACAUUACGCAUUUGUUGUAUUGACUGCGAAUUAACUAAUUGUUUUCACUAACCAUAAACCUAUUUUUUUAAAUCUCAUUCUGUCACUUUGGUCUUUAUUUUCUCUUUUAGACUUUUAUAUGCAAAUGUUCAGAUAUAAGGAUCUAAUAUUUACCGUCCAAUCCCAAAAUCCAUUGCUCUACGAGCUGCAUCAUUGUCCUCAUCACAAUCAGACAUUGGCUCAUACCAUUUUGCAUUUAAUGAUAUCCCGAUCUGACCACGUUGUUUCUCCUUGCAUAUGAAAAUUUCCCACAUUUUAUUCUGCACUAUGAAUUAUAAGAUAUUAAGAUUGUUCCCUUCUGUUUUCUUACCUUGAAGUUUCUCUGGUAGGUGUGGUAAGCUGCAGCAUGAGACAAGAGAAUGUUAUGAGCUACAACAUACGGUUCGACCGAUGACUUCCCCUCCUUACAGAACCAAUGUCCCAGAAGUGAGCACCUCCCUGGAGCUUGUAUCCCUGUGUCAUAGCCUUGGAUCGAUACCCCAUGAGGCUCAUUGAAAGUGAUCCAGUACUUCACUCUAUCUCCAAAUGCUUUGAAACAGGUGAAUGCAUAACGCUCGAAAUCAUCCCUGCACCAUUUUUUUUUAGCGUAGGAUUUCGUAACCAUCUCACCAUAUCAAGAUAUCACAUUUUUUUAGCAUACUUACACGACUUCUCUGCUUAGCCAUCCUUCAUAUCUGUCUUCUAAAGCUUGUGGGAGAUCCCAGUGAUACAAUGUCACGUAAGGUUUGAUUCGUUUGGCUAAAAGAGCAUCUAUUAGGCUGUUAUAGUACUUAACUCCAUCUGGGUUCACUUCCCCUGUUCCAUCUGUUAAAUUUUUGAUUGAUGGUUGUGUGAAUCACAUUUUGGGGGUUUGAGAUAUUUACCGUUUUCUGUGAUGAAUACAGGUGGGUUUCCAUACAUGUCUUUAAGAUACACUGCCAGUUUCCUGAUUCCCCAUGGGACAAUGUGUAGCCAGCUUGAUCCUGCCUGUUUCAAGUAAGUUGUUUCUCAUCAAAUACAACUGUUUAGUUUCUUUGAGAAGCCAGUAUGGAUUAGGGAACAUCUUCGGGUUUCUAUCAGAACAAAUACAUACUUUUUCUCCUAUAGCUACUCCUCCACGAAAAGCUACAACAAUUAGGAGCAAACAUUAGCUAAAACAACAAAGAAAGGUUCUUGCUUCUUAGAUUCUCUCAUUGAUGUCCUGUUACGUCUUAUCUUAGAUUUGUUUGGAUGAGGUUGCUCUGUCAAGAAGCAACCCUACAUUUAUCUUUGAGCUUAAGUCAACAAAUGUGUUCUUUUCAGGUAAAACUUACAUGAACCCUAUUAUAUUGAUCGACCGAAGUAUCCGCAUUGCUGAAAUCCAAUAUCUUUCCUGUUGAUCAAGAAAAAACUGAUUUGUUUGUGACAUUUUCUGAUUUGUUUCUUUAAUACCUGGUUUCUUCGUGAAAGUGUCCCAUAUGCUUUCUCCUUUGUACAGCUCCUUCGAACUGAUGUUCUUGCAAGAAAAUGUUGCGAUUGUCAAAAUCUUCUUUCUUUCUUGGAUCAGUUUGGAGAAGAAGAAGAAGAAGAAGAAUGUCACCUGGUAUGCUGACGAAGCUGUUCCGAAUACAAACCCAUCUGGAAAAUCUGCUCUGCUGAUAGAUUCUGAAGAAACAUGAUCAAGAGGGACGAAGAAGACGACCAAGAACGGAAACAGAACUAAGACGAGUCUCAUUAAAGAUUCCAUUUUUAGGUCGCAUGAAUAGAGAAAGUGUGUGUGAGAGAGAGAGAGAGAGAGAGAGAGAGAGAGAGAGAGAGAGAGAGAGAGGGAGAUAAAAGGGAUGGAAUUUUUUGGUGAAUGAAAGAUUUGGAGGAAGGAAAUGGAGUUUUUGUGUGUGUUUUUAAUUUGUAAAGUUGAAGAAGAAAGAGGAAGAGUGCAAAAGAAAAGCUCUCGUCUUUUGAAGGCUCUUCUUUGGUGUUGACAUUUGUUGUUGAUUUGUUCACUCUACUUUUACUGUACACGUUUCUUAUACUUGUGCCAAAAACUUUAAAAGAAAAUUGUACUCUCAGAUAAAAAGUUUGUUACUAGAGACAUUGAUUCACCUAUUUAACUUACCGAUGUUUUUUAUUUUAUUUGUCGAUGAUCUGGUUAUUUUUGUAACCCCAAUUAAAUUCAUAGAUUGAAUAAAAAAUUACGUACUUUAUUUUUCGAUGAGUUAAUAAGAGGGUGUUAUUUAAUGAUGGAGUUAAAAUCAAUCUUGGAUUUUGAUUCUAAUAAUUUACUCAGAAAACUCCACAGAGAUUUCAUUUCAAAUGAUUUAAUAUACAAAGAUUUUACAAGUCUUUUAGUUUUGAAUAACACCAAACUAUUAAAAUCUAAUGAAAUAUAAGAUCCAAUAACACUAGAUUUUAAAGUUAGAUUUAUAAAUUAAUACUAUAAAAAUAAUGUUGACUUUUAUAGCAUUUUAGCAUACAUAUCCGUUUAUCUAUGUUUCUUUUUUGUUUCUUAAAUUUCUAUCGAAAAAAAAAACAAGGUAAAUCGAUUUCAAUAUUGUUGGAUCUGGGCUUUGUCUUUCAACCAUUCAAACCAGCUCAUCAUAAAAAUAAUAGUCUCUCUGACCAGGCAGUCCAUGCUAGAUAGUCCAUUCGGAAAGUGACAGGUCCACUAAGAGAUCAGUCCGUCGAGGAACAGGCCCGUCCAACAGCAACCACUGUCACUAUGCACAUGUAACCUAAUGAUUCCAUAUCGAUUCCGAAAAGGAUCGAGGUAUCACAUCACUGUUAUAAAAACAAGUAUCUGACGACAAAAAAAAAAGGAAAGCUUGGACUGGUGUGGAAAUCAGGAAUUAUCCGGUUCUAACCCUUAAUUAACUAGGCUUGAUACUUCGACUAAUUAGAUCGUCCUGUUAUAGUAGAUCGGUACCUGAAUCUAUUUGUAUUAUGCCGAUCCCUGGUUAAGUUUAAUAAGAAGUGCCUUUUAUUCCGAUCCCAUAUAUGUUCUCCUUUAAGUUCGCGUUCAGGCCUACGAUCAUCAGUUGGCGACCACAUUGGGAGGUAACAGAAGCUACUUACUUGCGACAACCCGGCAUCGGCAGAAUGACGGACAGAGGAAGGUAAACAAGAAUUGAUGGAGAGUUCUUGGAGGACACACCUGACAUGGUCCCGUCGAUCGUAGGAGAACUUAAUGUACUAAGGGAGAACUUCAAACCAGAAGAAGCUGACGCCGGCAAGUGCCAAAUUUUUACCAAACAUCUAAGUGGUGCUGCGUUCGACUUCGAUGAAAGUAGCCGAACAAGCUUUGUCGAGUUCUUAAAAGCUAACGUCGCCACAUUUGCGUGGUCUAUCCACGAUAUGGUCAAUAUAAGCCCUGAGGUCAUAUGUCAUGAGCUUAAUGUCGAUCCCACGUACAUGCCUGUAAAGCAGAAGAGGCGAAAACUCGUAGCCGAAAGAAAAAAAGCGCUUAAUGAAGAGGUAAAAAAGCUGCUUGAGGUCGGGUCCAUAAUCGAAGUAAAAUACCCGUCCUGUUGUAGUCAACAAGAAAAACAGAAAAGCACAAAUCUGCAUCAACUUCACGGACUUAAACAAGGCAUGCCCUAAGGAUAGAUAUCCCUUGUCGCACAUCGAACGAUUAAUGGAAGUAACAGCAAGAAACAAGCUGUUAUCUUUCAUGGAAACCUUCUCGGGGUAUAAUCAAGUACUCAUGCAUAAGGAGGAUCAAGAUAAAAUAGCGUUUGUAACCAAUCGCGGAACCUAUUGCUAUAAGAUUCUGCCUUUCGGCCUGAAAAAUGCAGGGAUGUUUGUAUAACAGUUGGGCCAUAAAAUAGAAGUCUACAUCGACGAUAUGCUGGUAAAAUCGAAGCUAGCCACCGACCAUGUCAAACACUUGAAGAGAUGUUUUGCGACAAUACAACAUGAAGCUCAAUCCGGCAAAAUGUUUGUUUUGCAUGACUUCUAGGGAGUUCUCGGGGUAUAUCGUUACCAAACGCGGUAUCGAGGAAAAACCAAAAAAGAUAACAUCUAUAUUGAAUAUGUCGUCCCCUAGAAACAAACGUGAAGUACAAUGAUUAACUGGACGAAUUAUCGCCCUCAACAGCUUCAUCUCAAGAUCAACCGACAAAACCUUACCAUUCUAUCAACUACUUUGAAUGGACACCCAAAUGUGAGCAAGCUUUCUCCGAGCUUAAAAAGUACCUACCCACACCACCUAUCCUCGCCAAACCAGAAGAGGGAGAGAAGUUGUACCUAUAUAUCGCGGUAUCAAGCCUAGCAAUGAGUGGCGUCAGUCUGAGACUAUCGUGGUGAACAAAAACCAACUUUUUACAUAAGCAAAACUCUCGAUGGCGUCGAGCUGCGUUACCCAACGAUUGACUAAAUUGCAUAUGAUGUGGUAGUAUCGACAUGAAAACUCCGACCUUACUUCCAGUCUCACACCAUCGUCAUGCUAACCAACCAACCGCUGCGACAGAUCCUCCAUAAUCCAGGCCAAUCAGGACGAAUGUCCAAGUGGACAGUAAAAUUAAGCGAAUACGAUACGGAAUACCUCAGACGAACGAGCAUGAAGUCAAAAGUACAGGCCGAUUUCCUCAUUGAACUUCCUCCGAGCACCGAUUCUGAGCCCCCACCAAAGGAGAAAUGGAUCAUACACGUCGAUGGAGCAUCUUCCUAGCAUGGUUUAGGUAUAGGGUUGCACCUAACCUCGCCAACAGGAAGAUUCUCGAACAAUUAUUUCAGCUCGGCUUUUUUGACUCGAACAACGAGUCAAAAUAUGAAGCAUUAAUCGAUGGAUUUAAACUCGCGUCUGGAAUUGAUGUCAAGCACCUACAAGCAUAUUGCGACUCUCAUCUAGUAGCAAGCCAGUUCAGCGGUGACUACGAGACCAAAAACGAGAGGAUAGAUGCCUACCUAAAGAUCGUUCAGAAGCUGAUCAAGCAAUUCAUAUUCUCCGCCUUCGAUAAAAUUCCAAGAAGCGCAAACGCCCCCGGCCCGUAGAUGCAUUGGUCGUACUAUUCUCAACGUCUGAUCCAAACCUGCGAAGAGUGAUACCCGUCGAAAGCAUAUAUCUAUCAGUAGUAUAGACAGACGUGAUACCGUUUGCCUUGCCCAAACCAAUACAGCAGAGGAUCACUCAUACCUCAACCCCAAUGAUUGGUGAAUACCUAUAGUCCAGUAUAUUGCUGAUGGCGUUGUCCCAUCUGAUAAGUGGGAAACUCGACGAUUAAAAGCAAAGAAAGCUCACUACACAAUGCUCGAUGGCCUCCUCUUCUGAUAUAGCACCAACAAAAUUCUCUUCCUAUGCAUACGAAAGCAGGAAACUGAGAGGGUAAUGAAGAAAAUGCACGUUGGUACUGGUGGUAAUCAUUCAUGACGGCAUGCCUUAGCUUUGAAAAUAAAAAAACAUGGGCUUUAUUAGCCGACCAUGAUAGCAGAUUGUGAACAAUUUAUCGCCAAGUGCAAAAAAUCUCAAUGACACGCGCCGAUAAUUCAUGCGCCAAAGGAAAUGCUCACCAUCUCGACCGCACCUUAUCUGUUUACGCGAUGGACCAUGGACAUCGUUGGACCAAUAUCUGCAUCACACAACAAGAAGUAUGCACUGAUAAUGACAGACUACUUUACUCGAAGCGGAAUCGUACAUCAAGAUCCAAUCGAAAGAAGUCAAGAACUUUGUCUGAAAACUAUCAUAUGUCACCACGGACUUCCACACGAGAUCGUCACAGAUAAUGGGUCACAAUUCACUUCCAAGCAGUUCGAAGAUUUCUGCACCAGCUGGCGGAUCCGAUUGAGCAAAUUCACUCCAAUAAAAUCCGCAAGGAAACGGUCAAGCCGAGACACAAAACUAGACUAUCCCGGACGGACUUAAAAAGAGACUGGACGGUAAGAAGGACAAGUAGGUAGAUGAGCUCGAUGGAUUCCUCUAGUCCCACAAAAUGACGCCACGAUUAUCAACAGAUCAAACACCGAUCUUUCUCGUCUAUGGCAUGGAGGCAGUCAUCCCAGCAGAGGUCAACGUAGGAAGUCUCUGCCAAACGCUUCUUAUCAGCCAGCCUGAAUUAAAUAAUCAAAUGCUCAUCAAUAGCAACGACGAGGUCAAGGAGCUCUGCGACCAAGCACUUCACUGAAUACAAAACUACCAAAAUUCUGCAGCUCCGUAUUACAACAAAGCGUCCAUCAACGCUUCUUCGACAAAGGCGACCUGGUCCUACGAAAAUUCUUCGAAAAUACCACAGAGUUAAAGGCCGGCAAGAUGGGAGCAAAUUGGGAAGGACACUAUCAAGUAUCAAAGUUCGUCAAACCUGGCAUAUACGACCUCAUGACAAUGCCGGGCAUAAAAGUAUUACGAUCCUGGAACACGAACAAUCUAAAAAUAUACUACUACUAAGCAGUGGCCAGACCCUGAGUCUUUUCGACGAAGUCACAAUCGCUUAAAAAUAAAGAAAGGGAUGGCUCAACCAUCAUUUAUCAGUUUGUAAUGUGAACUACGAUCGGCUUGAUCCCUGAAAGGGGUACGUAGGCAACCUGUUCAGCUCCUCCUUCAGCUUCUCAGACUCUUCUGUUACGGUUUGAGCAAGAUGUUGUGUCUUUAUUGCAUGCUUUUGCGCCUCAUCCCUACACUCCUCCGCUAUCUUUGUGAGGCUCUCGGCUUUCUUCGUACGCCAAUCGUAGUGGUUAAUCAACAAGUUCAGCGAACCCACCAACUACAACGAUAGACAGAAACAGGUCAUAGAGAAGAAGAAAACAAAUCAGCAUAGACAAGGAACUAGCAAAAAAGCUCAAAAAUAACUAACCAAACACUCCAAACGAGUCCUGUCUUUAUAAGCCUCGGCCUUUAAGAGCUCGUCAGCCGCAGGCUCCUUCGACACAAGAGGGAUUAUCCGAAUAAUAUUCCCACAAUCCGCCUUGAUGCUCGACAAGGGGAUGUCUUGCGACUUGUACAAAUAAUUGUAGAAGUGAGGUAAGGUCGGCUCGGUGGAAGGAAACGAUCUCAGCUUCUUCGCCAGCCCCAAAACGAUCUCAGCGGUCUUUCGCUUACGCGAACCAGACUCGCCAGCAACGACCUCCUUCGAUGUUCCUUUACUCAGAGACGGCUCUGAAAGAGGACCCAUGCGAUUGGGAGUUUUAGAAGCAUUGUUGCCUCUAUCCUUAACCCCUUCGUGACGACCAGACGAUGCCUUCUCAAUCGUCUCCAAAGGACGGAGCAGUAACUUCCUCAGCCUCUUUCGACGAGUGACGGUCCUUUCCCUUCUCAGAGUUACCACGGCUCUGGAACGCGGUAGCAGCAUAGUUAGGGAUUGCCAUUUUCACCAUCUUCUCCUUCUUCUUCCUGGAACCGCGAGCUGACAAAAAAAACAAAGGAGCAAGCAGUUAUAUUUAUAAAAAAAGGGAGUAUGACUACACUAAUACCUUUUGAAUGCUUCUUUUACUUCAACUGAGGAACGAGCUUCCAUUUGAUUGAGUCCUGCUCUCUGAGAUGAUCCUGAUCUCGCAUAAAGUUCUCUGGGAGGUCUUGAAGGAUCUUAGCGACGGGCUCUGCAAAAACAAAAUGAUAGAAACGACGAAAGUAGUUAGCAACAAAGGAGUUUUGAACGAUCUUGAACGUGAAGCUAACCAACCGACUACUACCAUGAUGAAGGUUCAAUUUGGUCUUAUCACCAAUGGAAGGAUCUUCCAACACGUGUUCAUUAACUCACACAUAGAAAUACCGAUCCAUCUACUUAUGAGUCUUGGAAGGACCCUUAUAGACAAAUUUAGGGACAUCACUCACGUAAUACAUUCCGGAUUGGUCCCUAAUCUUCGAAAACGUGGUCGCCUCCUCAAAAAAGUGAGAUGUUACACUGAUCAGCACGCCUCUUCAGAGCAACCAUGUUUCUGAUCGUCGCGGCUGUAAACUAGAAAAUCGCCAAUUGACGAUUCUAGUAAUAUUGCAUAAAGAAAGUCAGGAGAGGGAACCGAAGAUUGCAUUUGGUGAAGUUAACCUCAUUCAGAUUGAUAUACCUAGCUCUCAUGACAUUUCUUAGGACGAUCGUUUGGCCCAAGAAUAACAAAUUCGAGCCCGUGAGAGAGUCACAAAAAUCAACCAUGUCCUGAAGGAUCUCAGGCGUGAUCUUGGUUCUUCCAACGUCAAUAGGCUCGAUCUCAUCGUCCCCAUCGGCGAUCUCCUCUCCACGAGCAAUCUUCUCGGCUCCUUCAAUACCAAGCUUGAUGAACGAUCGUAAACAAAAAAGGUGAGGAGCUAAAUGAUUAUUUAUAGCCUAAUAAGGGCAAAUAAAUGAAAAAUACGGAUACCAAUAGGAGCGGAGCAUAUUUUCCGCGUAGGAUUCGGAAACUAAGCCCACGCGGGAAUAUCCCGAUUUCAUGGCACAAACACUGAGGAUUCUCCCUCCAAAAUAAAGGAGGGCGGUGCCAAGAAACCAUAGGAAAUGAGACUCCUUCAUCAUCCUUGGUUAAAGCAACUCGUUCAAAUAAACUAGAGGGAAUAACUGUUGGACAUGGGUUUGCCUUUCUAACAUCCAAACCGGCCCAUCAAGAAAACAAUAGAGUCUCCCUGAUAUGCUGACCAGGCAGUUGAUGCUAGAUACUCCAUUCGGAAAGUGACAGGCCCGUUUAAUGAUCAGCCUGUCGAGGAACCGGUCCAUCCAACAAUAAAAAGAAGUUACAUCAAAUUCAAAAAUCUAAAAUGUUUCUAGUUUGGUUUUUGGUUGGGAUAAUUUCUUCUACGAAACUGUACCACCCAAAAAAUGUAAAUUGAAAUCCAAAACCCAUCUCAAACGAAAAACUAAAUAAGAUUAUUUCAAAUUAAACAAACGUAUAUAGUUUAAUGAUAAUGGCUAAAAAUAAAUAAAACAUCGGUAUGUUUGUUGUUUAUUUGAGUAAAAAGAAAAUAGUCGUGAAUGGAAAAGUAACCAAGAUAAUAUAAUGAAAAUUUAUGUUGAUAAAAUAGGAGAAGAACACAUGUAGUUAAUUAUACGUAUUAUAAUGUUUUGACGUUUUUCUUUAAAUAAAUUGAUUUUAAGAAAUGUCGACCGCAAGGUGUAAAAUUGUUUAUUUGUUUCCCGAGUUUGUGGAGGGGGCCACAAGUCCAAAUUUAACUGCAUAAACUAAUCAAUAUGAGAUAACGUUUCUAAUUAAGUUAUUCUAUUCUUGUUAUUUCUGGUUCUAUUAGACUCGUGUGGGUUAGGAUUAUAAUAUAUUAAAAUCAAUGGUCCGUCAAUAUAUAUGAUUGCAAUGGUCCAUAUAACACUUAGAAAGCAGCAACAUAAACUAACUGAUUAAUUUCAAAACUAAUAUAAUUAUAAACUAUAAGUUCGUGGUAUUUAGGUCUGAGCAUUUAAAUUUCGGAUCGGAUUCGGUUCAGAUAAUUUAAGUAAAAAUGUUAUUAUCUGUUCAGAUUCUAUGACUAUUCGGAUCAGAUUCGCUUCAGAUAGUGUCGGAUUCAUAUCGGUUUUCAGAAAAAAAAAAAAAAAAAAAGUUUCAUUUUACUAAAAUUUGGCUAAGUUUUGCAAAAAUAUGUAUAAUAUUAACAAAUAUAACUAAAAAAUUUAUGAUAUCUAAGUUAUUUAGGAUAUUUUUGUUAUUUGUUAUAAAAUUAUAAUAUAUUAAAAUCAAUGGUCCAUCAAUAUAUGAUUGCAAUGAUCCAUAUGACACUUAGAAAGAGCAACAUAAACUAAUUGAUUAAUUUCAUUACUAAUAUAAACUAUAAAUUCGUGGUAUUUAGGCAUGAGCAUUCGGAUUUUGGAUCGGAUUCGUUUCGGCUCUAUUUGGAUUUGGAUAAUUCGGGUAGGAGAGUUUAUUAAUUGUUUGAAUUUUAUGACUAUUCGGAUCGGUUUCAGUUUGGAUAGUUUCGGAUUUAGAUCGGUUUUCGGGGAAAAAAAAUUUAGAAAAUGUUCAAUUUAAAUAAUAAAAAAAAAAGAGUUUAAUCUUACUAAAAUUUGGCUAAGUUUUGCAAAAAUAUGUAUAAUUUUAACAAAUAUAACUAAAAAAUUUCCGAUAUAUAACGUUAUUUAGGAUAUUUUUGUUAUUUGUUAUAAAAUUAUAGCUAAAUAAAACUAAUAUUUUUGGAUAUUUUUUCGGUUUUCGGUUCGGAUCGGAUUUGGUUCAGAUGAUUCGGGUAGGAAAAUUCCUUAUCCGUUUGGAUUUUGUGAUUAUUUGGUUCGAGUUCGGAGUUGGAUCGGUUUCGGAUCGGAUUUCGAAUUUUAUGCCCAAGACUAAUGGACUAGUGUUAUUAAUAAGAAAAUGAGAGCAUGCAUAUCUUUAUUAAUUUAAUUUAGUAAAAACAAAUGACGAUAUACAAUUAGAAAUCAACACCUGAAAGCGGCGGGACCCACUAUAUAACGGCGCCACACACCUUUAUUAUGUUAAAAAAAAAAAAAGAAGAAGAAGACAAAAACUUUUGAGGAUGAUGAUGAUGAUGAUGCUGCGUGGGGCCAUGGCUGCGAGAUCAAAUCUUUCCGGUGGGGUCCUCGCCUUUGCUGGAAGAACAAAUGUCUCCGGCGGAGUCUUCGCGUUGGCUGCGAGGAGAAACUUCUCCGAUCAUUCCGAUUCUUCCGCGGAAGAGGCCAGGCUAAAUGAAAAUCAGCUUCGCCUACAGGCAAGACUCCUUGCUGAUCAAGCUUUAAAAGACUCAAAGAAACGGCUUGGGCUAGUUGACCAAACCUACCUUGCAAGAGCAAUCAAGACUUGUGAAAGGAAAAGUUCGAAGUUCUGGAAGCGGGUUUAUAAAGUGGAGAAGAAGAUGCUCGCUGAGAAGAAGAAGAAGAUGCUCGCUGAGAAGAAGAAGAAGAAUGGCGACCAAAUCUCUUAAUUUUGUUAUGUGAUUUGUGUUGUUAUAUGAUUAAAAGCAGUCUUUGAACUGUCAACGUCGCGCAUUAAUAAAGACACCUGCUUUUUCUUUAUCCUGACUUUUUUCCUAUUUUAUUCCGGCGUAUUAAAUGGUCAAACACACAAUUAGCAACAAAACAAAGCACUCGAAUUUUCAAAUCUUUCUCUCGCUCUUUCGAAUCCUUCUCUCUGUUUCUUGUGGAUUUUUUGUUUCCGUUUUGAUUAAUCGCAUCUGAAGAUCUCUCUGGUAUCGAAAAAUGGGUGAGAACGCCAUCUCAGGUUCGUUUCGAAAUCUUUCUUUCUUUUGUUCUUGAUCUGUCGCUGUCGAAUGAUCUUUAAUGAAGCUGGAUUUGAGUUGGGUUUUCGUUUUCCAUGGAAUUAAGUAUCUGGGUUUCAUUGUUUUGCCUUAAAGUUUUGUUCUUUGAUCAUAUAUCUUCUUGGGUUUGUUCUAUGGAUCUCUGUUUGUUUCUGUGGAAAAACGAAAUCUGUGCAUGCGACAAGUCUUUUAUCUUGUGUUAUCGUUUGAUUGACAAAAUCGAGGAACUUUAGAGUUGUUGUUAGAAUUCGAAUUUGAUUUUCAUUUCUCUUUUGGUAAUAGGUAAUCUCAAGAAUCUAAAAGAUCGAUACAAGAGAUUCAGAAACUCUUGUGGUAUGUUUCGGUGAAAUGUGAUUGAAUUUUUUCCAACGGUUGGAGGUGUUUCACUAGCUGAAACACCAGCUUUCAAGAAGGCUCCUGGAGGAGCUCCCGCAAAUGUAGCUGUUGGUGUCUCUAGACUUGGACCACUUGGUGGUUCGUCUGCUUUCAUUGGAAAGGUCUGAGAUUUUUGACUCAGAAUUGAUGAUGAACUAAGGGGUUUUGUUUUGAAUCCAAUCUUAGUUUCAGUUUUGUUUAUAAACUCAGGUUGGUGAUGAUGAGUUUGGAAGAAUGUUAGCUGAUAUUCUAAGGCUUAACAAUGUCGAUAACUCUGGGAUGAGGUUCGAUCACAAUGCACGGACUGCUCUUGCGUUUGUUACACUAAGAGGUGAUGGAGAGAGGGAGUUUUUGUUCUUCAGGCAUCCGAGUGCUGAUAUGCUUCUUUUGGAAUCUGAGCUUGAUAAAGACCUCAUCCAAAAGGUGAACUCUUUUCAUCUUUUGAUCCACAUUUGGAAUGAGACUAAGUCCACUGGUUUGUUUUUGUUUUAAGUACAGGCCAAGAUCUUUCACUACGGAUCUAUCAGUUUGAUUGAGGAACCUUGCCGUUCUACUCAGCUUGCAGCUAUGAAAAUCGCUAAAUCCGCAGGGAGUCUUUUAUCUUAUGACCCGAAUUUGAGAUUGCCAUUGUGGCCAUCAGAAGAAGCUGCAAGGAAAGAGAUCAUGAGUAUCUGGAAUUUAGCUGAUGUUAUAAAGGUAUGAUCUUUUUUUUUUACUACCGAUAAAGAUCAGAUCAGAUGCAUUCCUCGUACUUAAAAAUGACACAAGUCGUGUUGAGUGUUUUUCAGAUUAGCGAGGAUGAGAUUACAUUCCUGACCGGUGGUGAUGAUCCCUAUGAUGAUGAUGUGGUGUUGCAAAAGCUCUUUCAUCCCAAUCUUAAGCUUCUUGUUGUUUCAAAGGACCUAAUGGCUGUAGAUACUACACUAAGGUUUGCUUCUCUUUAUUUUUUCUAUCUUCUUCGAUAUCAAAUCGGUAUUAGAUUGCUUAUUCUUGUUGCUAUAUUGUAUUGUAGGAGUUUAAAGGCAGAGUUGGUGGAGUAAAAGUGAAGCCAGUUGAUACAACCGGUGCAGGAGAUGCAUUCGUGAGCGGGUUAUUGAACAGCUUAGCUUCUGAACUCACUCUUCUCAAGGUACUUACUUAUCUCUAACAUUUUACCUUCUCUGGCUUUUUGUAACUAAGACUAUGAAUCAAUGACAUUAUGUGAAAUUUUGCAGGAUGAGAAGAAACUAAGAGAGGCGCUUAUAUUCGCAAACGCUUGUGGAGCCAUUACGGUAACAGAGAGAGGAGCUAUUCCGGCCAUGCCCAGCAUGGAUGCUGUUGAAGAUCUUCUGACUUCUACUCGUUCCUAAAAUGCUUCAAAAAGUCUCUUUUGAGUGUAUCAAUUCAUUACCUUUUACUGUAUUUUUGGUUUUUAAAUCUUUUUCCCCCAAUUUGUAGGAACUCAAGAAUGUUGUGUGUGUGUUUUUAGUUUGUUGAUCUAUCCCGGAGUUUUAGUAUUGGGGUGGUUUGGUUUUUAUAUCAAGUUAGGUUCUACAAGGAACAAAUUCAUGCUUUGUAAAACUACUUGCCGUUUUUAUGUAACGAGAACGACACACACUCUUUAAACCAAAACAUGAAAUUGUUCGCUUCGAACUAUUUAAUUGAUAUUUAAACCGGUUUACGGUUUACGAGGAGCUGAACGUGAGUAGCACGUGACACCUCCAUAAAUUUUGUAAGUCAAACUUGAUUGGGAUUUUGUGAAAUUGUGAUAAAGCUGGGGGUACAACGGACAUUUUACAAUGUUAACGGCGUUAAGAAAAGAACGUUAAGUCUUCGGUGGAAACUUAACGAACUUCAAACUUUUGAUUUCACCGUCAAAAUCAAAAUCCGGGACGAUAAUUCUCACGUUCUCCAUCACUUUCCCUCGAUCCAAACCAGAGCGAAGAGUGGGAACUACACGCGAAUCACGUCAACGUAAUGCGAUUCAUGGAAUGUGAAUUUUGAAUUCGAGGAAGAAGACGAAAUCGGAGCAUUGUUGGAUCGAUUUUUGAAGUUUGGAGGAGGAAAUGAUGGCGUCGGAUCCAAAACUGAAGGCUGAGAUCGGAGCCGAUGGUCUUGCAAGAGAAGCUCCUGUUAUUGCUUACACAGAGAAGGUAAAUUUUACUCUAUGGAUGUAUAUUCUGUAUUAUCUCCCAACAAGUGUUCGUGUGAUUCUCUUUUACUGAACGCGAUUUGAUGAUUUUGUAUGAAUCAGAUCAUUGAGGAAGAGCAAGUUCAAUUGAGGAAGUAAGUACUUGUUUCUAAUUCUGGGAUUUUGUUUGAUCGAUUUGUUCAUUUUUGAAGGAAUGUAGUGUGCAUUUUACGCUCUUAGAUUCUCCUUUUGGGCUGCUUGAUCUUAAGUCUCAGCUAGUGUUACUUGCUUUAGGAGUGCCUUUUUUUUCUCCUGAAUCUUAGACAUGACGAAAUUUUAUGGAGGAAACACAUAAACUUGCUGAAGAAUUUGGUCAGUAGUUAUUGCAGAAUCGUCUUAUGAAAUCUGCCUUAUGCAUGUUGUUUAGCUUGAUUGUUUAUCAAAAAUCAGAUAACUGAGAUCUGUGGAGUAAUUUUUUUUACUUAGCCACUGUCAGGGGUCUUGGAGUUUAACAUGAUGAAUAGAUAUAUGUUGCAUUCUUCUGUGUGUGUCUGUUUUAAGUUAGAUUAGGGUAAAGAUGAUCCUAGAGAAUACCGGUUUCUCUAUUAGGGGAUUUGAGAGACUUUUGGAACAUUGUUGCUCUAAGAAUGUGAAUGUAGUUGUUUCUUCAGCUCGUCUUCUGUGAAACUUCCUUCUAAUGAGAUUCUUUAUGUCAUCAUGUUAUAGAUACAUUGAGGAGAACUAUACAAAAAUCAGGGAUGUCGAAAGGGAAUUUGGAAACCUCACAAUGGAAUUGAAACUUACUGCUGGACCUAAGAAAGCAGGUUCAGCUAGUUAACUUUCUUUUUCUUUACUCAAUGUGACAUGGUUUAUUGGUUUUGUUACAUAGAACAGUCUUAUUGAUUAAGUUUUUUCUUUUCUUCUGUUGUCCAUACCUAAAGCGAUGGAACACUUGAGAAAGAAAAUUGAAAUCUCAACUGAAAGGAUCCAUGUUGCUAAGUUGGAAGAAGAAGAAGCGCGAAAGGUUUCUUAUCUCUCUCUUUGAUUUAUGUAUCUCAAUGUUUUUGCCUGUCUUGUUCUGUUUAACCUCACAUGGCAUUUAGAAUUAGUUAUAGGUGGAUGUGAACAUUUCUAUUACCUGUUUGUGCCUCAUAGCAAAAUAAGUUAUAUGAAUGGAUAUUUCAGAUAUCAUGGUCUGAUGAUUAAUUUCAAACAUUACUGAGUAAAAGAAUGUUUUGCUAAUCUUUCCAGUGCUGGAGUAUCGUGUUUCAUGUCGUGCUGUGACCUAUAGGAAUUCAAAUCUUCUUUAGAUUGUUUAACCUUACCUUUGAAGUCUAGAGAUUGUUAGUUAACCUCUUUUCUCUUAUUAAGCAUUUGAAGCAGCAUCAAAAGUUGUAAAGGAUGAAGAAGCAGCAAAACAGAGUCUUUGCGAAGAUUUAAACCGUCUGGUAUGUAUAUCUGUUAAAAACUGAUAACAUGAAUUAAAUUUUUCCCAUUGAGAGACAUUUAAAUCACAAUCUUUUCUAAAAUGUAACCAUAGGUACAACAAAGCAGCAAUACGCAGUACGCCAGACUUGAGGAAUUAAAAAGAAGACUAGAAGCGCUGAAUCCAAAUAGAUCAUCUACUUCUAUUCAGCAAGUAAACAAUCUCACCUUCUAGUUAAUAUUCCAUCUGUUUCCAGUAAUGCAACUUAUUCUAACUGUACAGACAUCAGAUAAUUCCUGCAUGAGUAUGUUGCUAACCACAGGUAAUACUUUGCAAAUGAUACUUGAAUAAUCAAAUCUAUUUACUUGGCCAUCAGUGAUACACGUCAGAUGUUUUUAAUCUCUGAUUGUGUUCCAUAUUUAGGUCCAAGAACCGGAGACUAAAUCUGUAGUAGACAGCUCACCAGCAGCCAAUGCUAAUGAGACUCACCCGGGAAAACCAGAAAAUAACCAUGGGAACGAGGAGGGAGGCAAAGAACAUGGAAAGAGGCCAGCAACAGGCCAACAGCUGAAGGAGAAUCAAAAGCGAAAAAGAAACCACAGAAUCAAGGAAAGGGAAGAGGAAUUGGAGUCAUGAACAAAGGCAGAGGAGGUUGGACAGGUGCUGGAUUCGAUGUCGAUGGUAGAACUUGAGGAUACAUAUAUCUAUAAAAUACAUAUACCGAAAGCCGCCUUUUCGAAUCAGAAGUAUGUCAAAUAUAUUACUACCAGGUACGUUCUAUUCAUCUUUUAACAUCGAUGGACCUGUACGUAGCCACAGAGACCUCUCAUUCUCUCAUACACUUUUGUUACUGAUAAAAAAAAAACCAUUCAAUCAUAUUUGGCUGUUCAUUGAUCAUCUCUUGUGUGCGUCUCCAAUUUUAUGCAAUUUGGUUGAUCUGAUAAUCUGAGAGCAGUUGGAUUUUAUUGUCUAAUAUGUUAAUGAUAUGGAGGGGAAGUUUCUUAUGAUUAGUAAUCAUAGAAUUUAGAAAGUUAUAAAGAUAUGAAUCGCAAUUUGGGCUCUCUAGCUUGAUCGAAAUAAAAAUUUGGGAUCUCCUGAAUUAACUGGAACUGAUGGUAGACAAAGGUCAAAAGAGUAACAGUAAAUCUUAAUGCUUCCUUCUUCUCUUGCUCUGUAUAAUAAUGUGAAAUUUGAACGGAUCUGACUGCAGAUUUCAUGUUUUGUUUUGUAGUUACCAAAUCAACAAACCGACGCCGUCAAAAUCCUUCGCCUCCGGAUAUCUCCACCAAUCUUCAGCUGCUUCUCCUCUGCAACAACUUUCCGGCGUCCGUAACUUCUCAUCUCCCAGCAGUGAUUUCAACAGGUAUUUUAAAACCUAAUGAUUUCGUUAAAAGCUUUGUGAAGUUUCGAUUUGAGUUCAGAUUUUCAGUAGAAACCUAUGGAUUUGAUCGGUUAGGUUUAACGGAUCUUCGCUUUUUGUAGCUACAACAUUAAUCCGCCGUCUAACUGGGGAAUCCGAAUCGUGCCGGAGAGGAAAGCUUGUGUGAUUGAGCGGUUUGGUAAAUUCCGCAAGACUUUGCCGGCGGGGAUUCACUUUCAUGUUCCGCUUGUGGAUUGUAUUGCUUAUGUGAAGAAGCGAUUCCUAUUGGUAAUCAGACUGCGACCACAAAGGAUAACGUUAGCAUCUACAUCGAUGGUGUUCUCAACAUUAAGGUUUAUCUUCGUUUCAGAUUCCAAUUUUGUAUACAAUUUCGCUAUUCUUCCUGUUUGGCUUAUGUUAAUUUGUCAUUCGUCUUGAGUUUCCUUACAGCUUGUAAUAACGGCUGCAUCAGAAGAAGCAUUUCCUUAUCCUAGUGGUUGAUUCCGACCGGCCGGCGUUCAAAUUGAUGCAUUUGCCGACCGGCGUCGACUUCCUCUCCGAUGCAGAUUUCCGGCGAUUUCUUGGUGGAGCCAUGGAUGGCGUCUCUGGAACUCGUGUGCCAUUGUUGUAAGACAAAUCCUGUAACUGUGCUUUUAAUUACAUUUGAUUGAAUCGUCUGCGACUGUUAACAAAUCAUGAAAAUUGAGCUAUUGUAUAUAAAUUCCUACACUAUAUAUGUUCCAUCUGUUAAAACCCGAGUUUAACAGACCAGUCGAAACUCGGUAAUAACAAUACUCUUAUCACAGCUAAAUGAACUAGACUUACUAGUGAAUAUUCUUGACCAAGAUAUCGAGAAUCUGUAAGCAUCCAUUCUCAGAUCUUUCAGCAGGUCUAUGUCAUUCAGUGAUAGCAAAACAACAAAGAAAGGUUCUUGCUUCUGAGAUUCUCUCAUUUGUGUCAAUGUUGCGUCUUAUCUUAGAUUUGUUUGGAUGAUGUUGCUCUUCCAAGAAGAAACCCAACUUUUAUCUUCAAGGCUUAAGUAAACUAAUGUGUCUUUCUUAAAUUAAAAUUGCUCAUUCUUGUCGUUUCUUCAUUUUUUCACCGGUUAAAUGUAGAAUCAGAAUUCAUAUAUAUCUUCCAAUCUUUACUAUGAGCUGCUCCGUUUCACAACAAUUUUGUAUUCCUGGACAAUCAUCUCUUAACAACAUCUAGCCUUCAGUGGCGUAUCUUCAAUUCUUUUUUGGCAAUAGUAGAUCCCUCCUUGUCCCUUGAACCAACUAUCAUUUUAUGUCUUUUAGCUCUUCUUGUUUUCAAAUGUGUUAUAACACUCUUUUUAUAUUAUAAUCCACACUCUUUUCAUCAAAAUUUCAGCUAUUGUACAUAAGAGCCAAUUCCUAGGGCUGUUUUCAGCAAAAGGCGAAGGAAGCCACUAAAGAUCUGAAAGAUGCAAUCAAUAAGAAUUUAUCCUAAAAUGUCUACUUGUUUUGACUCUCACACUCGAAUAAUGGGAUUUAAAUGUUCAUGGAUUGACUUAAUUCAUAUAUUUAGGGGACCAAAAAAAAACCUUUUGAAUAUUUAGUGAAGUAGAUUUGUUUCAAUUUUUUACUCCAUGAAAGUGAUAAAUAUCAUGAUGAAAAGGAUAAGUCUCAACAUAUUGAUUUUUGAUUUUUUUGUGUCGUUGAUAAAAAAAACUUGGUGGGCAAGGUCUUAAUCUGUAUUAAUAUAGGGUUUUAGGAGAAUAAGAUCACCAUUUCUUCAAUUAGGGUUUGUUUAUUUUAAUCUCUUUCUUUUCCACAAGAACAUCCUAGUUCAUGUCUCUGCUUCUCCGACGGCUCUCGAAGCUCAGCUCUGAGAAACCUGCGUUGGUAACAUCCUCGGUUCUCCGUCGUUCUAAUGGCUUCUCGUCUUCCUCGCUGCAAACUCCUCCGUGUACCAUCGUCGGCGCCGCUCCUUGUGGAGCGGAUCUCGGGAAACUCGUGAUUAUGAAUGCUACUAAAAAUGGCUGCACUCAUUUGGAGAAGAAGGUGCCUAUGGAGUUGGUGUAUAGUGAUCCAAUGGUGACGAUAGGGGCAUCUCAUGGCUGGGUUGCUACUCGGAAGCACGACGGAAUCGUGCGUCUCCAAGACGAUCUAAACCCAUAUGCAUCGGAUACAGAUCCGAAACGCAUCUCGCUGCCUCCUCUCGUGACUCUGCCUCGUUGCCAAACCCAAGUUGUGACCAACGUGGCCAUGUCCUCGUCUUCCCCGGAGGAUGAGGACUGUGUUGUGGCUGUCAAGUUCUUGGGGUCUCAACUCAGCUUUUGCAGACCCGCUCAAGCUAAUUCCGAGUGGAUCAACUUCAGGAUCGCUAGCCCCUGCUUCUACUCCUCCCCUGUCAUGUUUUCCAAGACACAUGACAUGUUUUGCAUUCCCGGAUCCGGAGGCCAUCUCAUCGGAUCAUGGGAUCCUCGGGCACACAAGCACAAACCCAAGUUCCAGAGGUUGCGAUUCCAAAACCUUCCCGAGCUGACCAAGACCAAACGGGAGCUUUUGCAAUCGUGUUGCACGAGUGAACACUUGGUGGAGUCGAGAACCACCGGUGAAACGUUCUUGGUUAAGUUAUACCGGAGGGCCACCGCCAGUGGUACCGUGAAAAUGCAAACGAAAGCUCUAAUGGUCUUCAAGCUUGAUGAAGAAGGAAACGCUGUUUACACUCAAGACAUUGGAGAUCUCAGCAUUUUCAUCUCAAAGUCUGAACCGUUCGCUGUCCCUGCUUCUUCCUUCCCUGGCAUGGCCCCUAACUACGUCCAAUUCUUCGACGUCGAAGAGAGCAUCUCCGCCAGUCUGCCUCGUUCAUCCAUCGUUGGUGGAAACUGUACAUUCAACGCACCUUACCAGAUUCCACCUCAGAACAUAGGCUAGUGGUUUUGAAUUGAGUCUACUAGUUGGUUGGAAUUGAGUCUACUAGUGCUUUUGAGUUGAGUCUUCCAUUGUUUGAGUCUGUCUUUUCUAUUAAACCUUUCAAAAAUAAAAUCUUCUGUGUUUAUAUAAGAGAAAGGUAAGCAAUGCAGAUUGGACUGUGUUUUAUGUUUUUUUGCUUCGAUACAUUAAUAUAGUACCUAAAAUGCUUACAUUUGAAAAUUCUCAUAAGGACUCUAUUAUUUCACAUUUGAAAGUUUAAGAGUAAUGUAGUCUUUCACAUUUGUUUCAUAGUAUUAGAAGAAAGAUCUCUUUUGAACUAUGAUUCACUCACAUUAGACAUAUAUAGCGUUACCUUCAUUAAUAAUACAUUUUCAACUCUGGACUAAUCAUGGUUGCCCUGAAUUGCUAGUCACUUUAAAAUGAAUAUUUGUAUCAUAAAAAUCGGCAUUAUUAACUAAAAUAGAGAAUUGAUCAGCAAAUCAAUAUUAUAUAUAUAUAUAUAUAUAUAUAUAUAUAUAUAUAUUUGAAUUUACCAUUGCAUUUUUAAGGAGAAAUCGAUUUUUUCUGACAAACGAGCUUUAUAUUAAAACUCUCGAAAUGCUGAUUUGUUUCAAUUUUUAAAUAUUUAGUAAAGUAGAUUUGUUUCAAUUUUUUACUCCACGAAGAUAAAAGUGAUAAAUAUCAAUAAUGAAAAGGAUAAAUCUCAACAUAUUGCAUUUUUUUUUGAUAAAAAAACUUGGUGGGAAAGGCCUUAAAUAUAGGGUUUUAGGAUCACCAUUUCUUCAAUUAGGGCUUCUUUAUUUGAAUCUCUUGAUUUUCCAUAAGAACACAUCCUAGUUCAUGUCUCUGCUUCUAAGACGGCUCUCGAGGCUCCGCCUUGGGAAACCUUUGCUGGUAAGAUCCUCGGUUCUUCUUUCUAAUGGCUUCUCAUCUUCCUCGCUGCAAACUCCUCCUUGUUCCAUCCUCUACGUCACUCCUUGUGGAGCUGAUCUCGGAAAACUCGUGAUUUCGAAUGCUGAUGCACGUCACUGCAUUAAAUUGGAAAAGAAGGUGCCUCUGGAGUUGGUGGAUAGUGAUCCAAUGGUGACGAUAGGGGCAUCACAUGGCUGGGUAGCUACUUUGAAAGACGACGGAAUCGUGCGUCUCCAAGACGAUCUAAACCCAUAUGCAUCGGAUACAGAUCCGAAACGCAUCUCGCUGCCUCCUCUUGUGACUCUGCCUGGUUGCCAAACACAAGUUGUGACCAACGUGGCCAUGUCCUCGUCUUCCCCGGAGGAUGAGGACUGUGUUGUGGCUGUCAAGUUCUUGGGGUCUCAACUCAGCUUUUGCAGACCCGCUCAAGCUAACUCCGAGUGGCUCAACUUCAGGAUCGCUAGCCCCUGCUUCUACUCCUCCCCUGUCAUGUUUUCCAAGAAACAUGACAUGUUUCGCUUUCCCGGAUCUGGAGGCCACCUCAUUGGAUCAUGGGAUCCUCGGGCACACAAGCACAAACCCAAGUUCCAGAGGUUGCGAUUCCAGAACCUUCCCGAGCUGACCAAGACCAAACGGGAGCUUUUGCAAUCGUGUUGCACGAGUGAACACUUGGUGGAGUCACGAUCCACCGAUGAAACGUUCUUGG